GCUAUGUUACAUAAACGGAAAGAUGUUGUAACAAAGCUAAGAAUCAGAUGAUGAGAACGAAAAGCAUAUUAAUUUAUUCUUUAUUGAUUAAUUAGCCGGCUCUUAAAUAGCCUAUAACAUUAAAACAACUGCCUCCUACUUUCUUCGGAGGACCUUAACAACUUGAAACAAACUCUUGAGUAGAUAAAUGGCACUACUCCUAUACAAUAGAAACUUAUUGCGACACCAUGCGCGUACGUCUCCCAUAAACCAGCAAAAUAUAUUUUGCUGCACUCAUACUUAACUAGAGGAAGAAGUCAUGCAUGGUUAUUAAUAUGGUGGUCCAGGUGGAGGCUGCGGACCGAAGGGUCUUGGAAUCAAGGUAGCUGAGGGAGGUGGAGGUCCUGGAGGAGGAGGGAGAGGCCCUGGAUGCGGUUGUCUUGGAGGCGGUGGAGGAGGAGGGAGAGGCUCUGGAUGCGGUUGUCUUGGUGGCGGUGGGUGGUAGAUAGGUGAAGGAUAGCCAUGUGGGGGAGGAGGGAGAGGCUGUGGAUGCGGUGGGUGCAGGUAGAAAGGUGGAAGCGGAGGAUGCUCAUGAUGCGGUGGUGGAGGAUGGCGAUGAGGAGAAGGAGGCAUUUUGGUUUGGAGCUUUGUUAUUGCAACGUAUAUGUUGUGUACUUUAGUUUAUAUAAUAAUAUCAAGACUGAAUAUGGUUGUUACCUACAAGUCCUUUGAAGUGUUAGAGAGUCCCAAUGGUCAUUAGUAAUAUGUUAGGUACAAUGGAAUGGUAGUUAUCUACCUAAUCUUUACUGUGGAAAAACUACAACUUCUGAAAUAAUAAAUAAAAAUUGCAUGUAAAUUAAAUAAAAUGCAUAUUUCACAAGAAGUGUAACUUUGGAAGCUCUCUUGUGCACCAAAGGAUUGGCUUAAAAACCAAACAUUAUGACAAUCUUGAGGUUUUAACUCCGUUUCCCUUUUUUCAGAUUCAUUUCAUUAGUUUUGGUAUCUGAACUCAUUUUUCUAAGUGAAAGUAAAUUAUCACCAUUUUACCUUUUGAUUGCAUUGAUGCUCUUAGAUGAUCCUGAUACAGUCUCAUGAAUAAUGGAGGAGUUAACCUUGCAGUAGAUGUCUGGUCAUCAAAGCAAUCAGUGGGUUACGCCUUAGUUUCCGGACACUUUGUAGAUAAAGACUGGAACUUAACUCACCUCCUUAUGAAUGUAUCUGUAGUUGCUUCUCCUGAUUCAGAUUCUGCGUUGAACCAACCUCUCAAAGCUUGCUUGUCUGAAUGGAAACUAGAAGGGAAGGUUUCAAGCAUCACUGUCAGCCAAACAUGCACUGAUAAUCUCAGAUGUUUCUUGUCUGUCAAGAACCAGCAUGUGUUGAAUGGUCAGUUGUUGAUGGGGGAAUGCUAUGCUAACGUUCUAAGCAGUAUGGCUCAAGAAGCACUUGAGGAUGAGAAGUUGAUAAAGAAAGUCAGAGACAGCAUCAAGUUUAUUAAGACGAAUGAAACUUGUGGAGAUAAAUUUGAUGGACUGAAGAAACUCUUUUCAACCGAUACGCGUAUAAAGAUCUUAACGUUGACAACAGAACUAGAUGGGACACAAGUUACAACAUGUUGUUGGCUGGUUAUGAACACAGACAGCUCUUGUCUUGUUUGGAAACUUGUUAUCCUAAUUACAAAAUAUCAUCAAUAUCUCCUGAAGAUUGGAGAAAGAUUGAUGGUCUCUGCUCGUGCUUGAAGGUUCUUUUCGAAGCGGGUAAUGUCUUGACAAGGCCAAAGAAUCUGACAGCAAACGAUUUGUACCAUGAGAUGAUUAAACUUCAGGUAGAGCUGAGCCAUGCAGCUAUGUGUGAAGAAGACUUGGAUGUUAGAAACCUUGCAAACUCGUUUUGGGAGAAGUUUGACGUGUACUGGAGAGGAUGCUUCUUGGUUUUGGCGGUUGCUGUGGUCAUGGAUCCUCGGUGCAAGAUGGAGAUCGUUAAGGCUAACUUCACUGAGAUGUAUGGUGAAGAAGAUGCUGAAAAAUGGAUCAAGACUGUUAGUGAUGCUGUCCAUGAUCUGUACCUUAGCUACGGUGAACAAAACCUGAUGGAUGCUAAUGUGGAUCAUGGCCUUUUGGAAACCACAGAGUCACAUCAACAUGAGGGAGAGCAUAAGGUAGAGAAGCAAGAACUUGGUGAUGAUUCUCAAGCACAGCCACAAGCAGAUGAAGACUACCACAUGGGUGAUGUGCUUCUCCAGGAAGGGACUACUCUAGUGACAAUUGGAGACUCUUUGUCAGACUUUGAGAUUUUCCUCACGGAGCUGAACCGAUAUUUAGGUGAAACGUUGGUUCUGGGGUCAGAAGACUUUGACGUUUUGAGGUGGUGGAGGGUCAACAGCACUAACUACCCUAUCCUCUCUAAGAUAGCUGCAGAUAUUCUACCCAUUCCUUGCAGCACCGUCUCACCUGAUUCCGUGUUUGACACGGAAGUGAAAGAGAUGGACAAUUAUAGAAUCUCUCUUCCUAGUGGAACCUUGGAAGCUAAGGAUUGGCUCAAAAACCCCAAAACAUUAUGACAAUCUUGUGAGAUUUUAACUCCGUUUCCUUUUUUUUUUAGAUUCGUUUCAUUAGUUUUCAUAUCUGAAUUUAUCACUAUUUGCCUUUUGAUUGCAUUGAUGAUGCCUUAGAUCCUGAUUCAGUUUCAGUCUCAUGAAGAAUGACCAUAACCGUGCAUAGCUAUGUUACAUAAACGGAAAGAUGUUGUAACAAAGCUAAGAAUCAGAUGAUGAGAACGAAAAGCAUAUUAAUUUAUUCUUUAUUGAUUAAUUAGCCGGCUCUUAAAUAGCCUAUAACAUUAAAACAACUGCCUCCUACUUUCUUCGGAGGACCUUAACAACUUGAAACAAACUCUUGAGUAGAUAAAUGGCACUACUCCUAUACAAUAGAAACUUAUUGCGACACCAUGCGCGUACGUCUCCCAUAAACCAGCAAAAUAUAUUUUGCUGCACUCAUACUUAACUAGAGGAAGAAGUCAUGCAUGGUUAUUAAUAUGGUGGUCCAGGUGGAGGCUGCGGACCGAAGGGUCUUGGAAUCAAGGUAGCUGAGGGAGGUGGAGGUCCUGGAGGAGGAGGGAGAGGCCCUGGAUGCGGUUGUCUUGGAGGCGGUGGAGGAGGAGGGAGAGGCUCUGGAUGCGGUUGUCUUGGUGGCGGUGGGUGGUAGAUAGGUGAAGGAUAGCCAUGUGGGGGAGGAGGGAGAGGCUGUGGAUGCGGUGGGUGCAGGUAGAAAGGUGGAAGCGGAGGAUGCUCAUGAUGCGGUGGUGGAGGAUGGCGAUGAGGAGAAGGAGGCAUUUUGGUUUGGAGCUUUGUUAUUGCAACGUAUAUGUUGUGUACUUUAGUUUAUAUAAUAAUAUCAAGACUGAAUAUGGUUGUUACCUACAAGUCCUUUGAAGUGUUAGAGAGUCCCAAUGGUCAUUAGUAAUAUGUUAGGUACAAUGGAAUGGUAGUUAUCUACCUAAUCUUUACUGUGGAAAAACUACAACUUCUGAAAUAAUAAAUAAAAAUUGCAUGUAAAUUAAAUAAAAUGCAUAUUUCACAAGAAGUGUAACUUUGGAAGCUCUCUUGUGCACCAAAGGAUUGGCUUAAAAACCAAACAUUAUGACAAUCUUGAGGUUUUAACUCCGUUUCCCUUUUUUCAGAUUCAUUUCAUUAGUUUUGGUAUCUGAACUCAUUUUUCUAAGUGAAAGUAAAUUAUCACCAUUUUACCUUUUGAUUGCAUUGAUGCUCUUAGAUGAUCCUGAUACAGUCUCAUGAAUAAAUACUAUAAAGUUCCCUGUCUCUGCUCUCAAGCUUAUAUAUACUUAGCCAAAACCUCUUACAAUUUCCAUGAAGUAGAUUUCCAUUAGUGACAGCACAGGAUUUCUUGAAAUACUCCUAAGCGGUCGUCCUAAGUUCCUAACCAAUCCUACAUCUGGUUAUACUUAUACAUGAAACCAUAUAACAGUCAAUUUAAACAUACCAAAAAAAUCAGCAUUUUUAGUUGGUUUGUGAUAACGAAUUGAAUCAAAACUUAUAAAUAUUUUGCCCAACUUUAUCGGUAAACAAUAAAAAUAAUAUAUAUAUAGUUUAGCUUUUGAUUCGUUAUUUGUUUUGAUUCGAACCGAAAAAUCCAAAGUUUUAUUGGAACCAUGCAUAUGAGUUUUAUAUUCAAAAAAAAAUACAAAGUAUAUAGUGUGAACACAUUUAUGAAUAUAGUGUGAACGCGUUAACAUAUUUAUUAUCAAAUCAUUGUGAGGCUGCCACGUGUCUAUUAUAGUGUGAAUGCAUUUAUUACAAUGCUUCUCCUUUAAUAUAUAAGGGAUUCAUAUUUCACAAGAAGUGUAACUUUGGAAGCUCUCUUGUGCACCAAAGGAUUGGCUUAAAAACCAAACAUUAUGACAAUCUUGAGGUUUUAACUCCGUUUCCCUUUUUUUCAGAUUCGUUUCAUUAGUUUUGGUAUCUGAACUCAUUUUUCUAAGUGAAAGUAAAUUAUCACCAUUUUACUUUUUUUUUUACUUUUUUUGAUAAUCCAGGUAUCCGAACCUCUCACUUAGUCCGACUAUCCCACCGCGUCCAACCGGAACUGGCGAGGAAGAUCCUGGAGGCCAAACGGAAACCAUGUUAAAUCUGCUGUGGCCGAGGCUCGAACUCGUGAUGGCGGGCAACUCAGCCGAAGUUCCUUUACCACCAGACCACGAGGUCCGGUUACCAUUUUACCUUUUGAUUGCAUUGAUGCUCUUAGAUGAUCCUGAUACAGUCUCAUGAAUAAAUACUAUAAAGUUCCCUGUCUCUGCUCUCAAGCUUAUAUAUACUUAGCCAAAACCUCUUACAAUUUCCAUGAAGUAGAUUUCCAUUAGUGACAGCACAGGAUUUCUUGAAAUACUCCUAAGCGGUCGUCCUAAGUUCCUAACCAAUCCUACAUCUGGUUAUACUUAUACAUGAAACCAUAUAACAGUCAAUUUAACACCAAAGGAUUGGCUUAAAAACCAAACAUUAUGACAAUCUUGAGGUUUUAACUCCGUUUCCCUUUUUUUCAGAUUCGUUUCAUUAGUUUUGGUAUCUGAACUCAUUUUUCUAAGUGAAAGUAAAUUAUCACCAUUUUACUUUUUUUUUUACUUUUUUUGAUAAUCCAGGUAUCCGAACCUCUCACUUAGUCCGACUAUCCCACCGCGUCCAACCGGAACUGGCGAGGAAGAUCCUGGAGGCCAAACGGAAACCAUGUUAAAUCUGCUGUGGCCGAGGCUCGAACUCGUGAUGGCGGGCAACUCAGCCGAAGUUCCUUUACCACCAGACCACGAGGUCCGGUUACCAUUUUACCUUUUGAUUGCAUUGAUGCUCUUAGAUGAUCCUGAUACAGUCUCAUGAAUAAAUACUAUAAAGUUCCCUGUCUCUGCUCUCAAGCUUAUAUAUACUUAGCCAAAACCUCUUACAAUUUCCAUGAAGUAGAUUUCCAUUAGUGACAGCACAGGAUUUCUUGAAAUACUCCUAAGCGGUCGUCCUAAGUUCCUAACCAAUCCUACAUCUGGUUAUACUUAUACAUGAAACCAUAUAACAGUCAAUUUAAACAUACCAAAAAAAUCAGCAUUUUUAGUUGGUUUGUAAACGGGUUUGAUAGGAACAGAAAAAAAAAAAUCACAUCUUAUAGCCUAACUCUGAAUGUUGAUAGGAACAAUUUUUUUUUUCAAACAGAACUACAGAAGGUUAAAUAGUUAGUUAAAACGAGGAUAAUAAUUAGUCAAUAUGUAGUGGGUGAGCGAGCGGCCUCAAAUGUGUAAUGGGCUUUUUAUUGGGUCAUAAAAUAUUUGAGCCCAUUUAACGGGUUGCGUCGUGACUACGAAGUCAAUAUAUAUAAUUUUAUCGAACACAAAGAGAUCCGUCAUCUGAAACUCAAGAGUUGCUUUUUCCCCAAUUCUCAGAUCAGCAUCUAGCCCUAGCUCGACAAAUCCGUCAUGUCGUCCAAGCAAGGUAGAUCAAUUAGUGUUCUUAUCCUCUUAUGAUAUUCGAUUCAUUAUCAUUGAUUCGUUUGCGAUCUGCGUUGUAAAACAGGAGGAAAGGCGAAACCUUUGAAGCAGCCAAAAGCUGAUAAGAAGGAAUACGAUGAGGUGAUGUCUCUACUUAAGCUUUAGACCUAGAAUGAAGCGAUGUUAUUGCUGUCUGCUACUAACCUUAAUAUCAAUGUUUUAGACAUUCUUUUUUACACGUUUCUAAUUUUCUUGAAUGUUGAUUGGGCAUGUACUGCAGCACGAUAUGGCCAACCUUCAGAAGAAGAAAGAUGAGGAAAAGGUUAGUUCCUUUUUUUCAAGCAAAGUCUGUAUCUCCUGCACUAGAGAGAGCCACUACUUUAGGGGGUUGGGUUUUCUAGAAGAGUAUAAAGUGCCACUUUGGUCAUAUUGUCAAAUCUAUGAGCACUAGUAAUGUGACAUUAUACCUGGUGAGUGGUGACUCAACAAGAUGGGGUCAGUUUGUUUAUUGGUUACUUGUUUAGAUAUUCAUUACGGUGUCGUUCUAAUGAAAUUCGGGGAAUGGUAUUGGCUGGGACGCUUAUUUCAACGAUAGUAGUUUGAUUAAAACGUGAACGCUGACCCGCAAUAAGAUGCUUACUUCACUUUGUUCUGACCCAAUGAUGCCAAAAUACAUUUUUAGCCUCUCUUUUGCAUGAGAAGGUCAGACAGGCAUCGUUCUUUAUUGAACGUCUGACCCUUUUUUUAUUUUUUGGACGGGAAUGAUAAAACAGGCACUAAAAGAACUAAGAGCCAAGGCAUCGCAGAAAGGAUCUUUUGGAGGCUCCGGUCUUAAGAAGAGUGGCAAGAAAUGAUCCCUUAUUUCCAUGAAGCCUGUUUUUAUCAAGUUAUAACAGAUACUCGUGUGUUGUGUAACUUGUCUGUAGGAGAGUUGACUUUGCGACUCUCUCAUAACAUACGUUUGCUUUCGACGCUAUUUCAUUUUAUAAAGAAAAAAAAUGGUUUCUAUUUAAAAGUCAAGUUCUGCCAUAGUUCUCCUGAUUCAAGAUUCAGUUUGGUCCAAUCUUAGAAACUGUUGUUUGUCAUAAAUUGAAGACAACAUAUGUUGCAUUGAUAACAUAAGGCUCUAUAAGAUGAGGUAGUAACAAGUAACUAAAAGGUGCAGGUUUCUUUUUAUACAAACAUGUAACUAGUAAGUGAAAUUUUUGAGCUGCGUAAUGGAUAACAAGACGUCUUAGGAAGUGCAUAUUCUAAACGAAAUAGCUUCACCCUAGCCUGAAAGCUGAUCGAGAGGGGUCUUAGAGCCUGAAAGAGCCUGCUUUUCUUCUUGAACCCUUGAUACUGGAAGUAAUGGUGAGCGGAUCAGAGAACUCGUAGUACAUGUCAGUGAAGAAAUUGUCAACAAUGUCAAGGUACACAGGGCUUCUAAUGCUUGAAUAGCAUCUAAGCGCUUCCUGUACAUCCGAAGCAUGCUCCACGUCUCUGAGAUCCACCAUGUUGAAAUCUUUCAUCUUUUGCGCCAGCGUCUCACCUCUUCUCUUAGCCUCCUCCAAUGGCUCUGCAACUUUCUUCUUCUUCGGUUUCUUUUUUAUGUUGGACCUUGUUGAUGAGACUCUCAUCUCUGGUUUCUGCAACAGCUGUGCUCUCAGAAGAGAAAACGCUGUACGUUUCUUCAGUUUGGGAAUCUUGUGGACAGCUACGGUGAAGACUGCACGAGAAGGGGCUCAAGAGUGGAGUGUUGUUGUUUUUAGGUAAGGUGUUGUGUUUACCAAAGCAGAUAGUGGACUUGAUGCUCCCAAGGCUCUUCCUUAAGAAACGACCAACUCUCUCAAUUGAUUUCGCUGUGGGUUUCAUCAUCUUAUCUUUUGUCUUUUUUUUUUGUCUCUCAUGCCAAUCCUUUUGGACAAUAGCUAUAUUUAUUUCACUCAAAACCAAACAAUAUCAUUCAUUCAAUGGCAUGUAGUAGCUGAAGAAGGAAGCUGAUAUGAUAUGUCAGAAUCAAGAAUUAAAGAAGGUGUCAUCUUGAUAUGUGUCCACUUUUAUUGGUAAGGAAUCAUUCAGCGCAUUGAUAAACAAUGUUCAAAAUGGUGCCCUACUUAUCCUCGUUACCACCACUAAACAGAACCAAGCCCAUUAAGCUAACAAGGCUGCCGUUAGUUCAAUGCAAAGGAUUCAGUUUUUGUUUUCCUUCUUGGUUGUAGACUUUUUUGAUGGUAUAUGAUUGAUUCAUUGAAAUGCUAACUGUUUACACAAAUCUAGCAAAACUCCACGUAAUAUACAGAGGAGUUACAAAGCAGAAUCUAGGUAUCAGUUUGGUGGUGGUGUGUAUUGACCAAAGAGGUGUUUCUCUUCAUGCAACUGUUUGAAAGACUUCUCCAUUUCCGGAAACGCAGAGAGUAGCAACAGCUCCAGAAGGUCAAAUGCCAAUUGCUUUAGACACACUGAUGACUGAAACAAACAAUAUUUAAACAAUCAAACCCCAUACUUGAAUAUGAGCUCUCAGAGCCAAAAUCAAGACCAAACUGGAGUAAUAUUUACCUGAAGGAAGAAGUAGAGGUCUUCCGCACAUUGUUUAUACUCGUUUUGACCCACAAGGCUCACUAUAGUCGCUGGGGCUUUUUCUGUACGCUCAGGGUUAUAUUCAAACAUUUUAUGUUAAUUCAAUAAAGCUUAGAUAUCAUUGAUUUCAAGAAGUAUCAGUUGGACAAGAAGAUCAUUACCAAUCAUUAAUUCAUGAACAAACUUGGCUCGUCUCUCUGCUUCUUGUUGCUGCUCCUCGUCAGAAGUACUGGAUUGUUGCUUCCUUUUUGGAUGUUUUGUCAUAAAUAUCCCAUCCGGCCAUAGUAUCUGAGAGGUCAUACCAGAUAUCUCUUUCAAAUCUCAAGUUGAAGUAAAAUACAACAAGGCGAGGGAUAUAAUAUGGGUGUCACUGUUAGGCAAUACUUUUUUUCCAUUGAUCACUGUGACUAUGCAAAAGGAAAAGGUUUUCUCACCUGUUCAACCCGCUGGAUUCCAGAAGCGACUACACUUCCCCGCCGCAAAAGACGAAUUUUCUCGAGUACCCAAUCGUCUAAUGCAUCGCCCAUCCCAAGUUGAAGUAUCUGUUUGGCAACCCAAAACGCUUUCCGCCUUGCAAAUGUACAAAAGUAGAUGAUCAAAACCACUUCAAUUUCUUGACUGAGAAAUAAAAAAAUAGUACGGCCCCUGGUUAUAAAAUGAUGUACCUGAUCCACCCACCCUCCUGGAGCUGUAAGACAACAUCUACCAAGUCUAGUAGGGGCAAUGUUAGCUUUGGAGGAACCCACUGCAAGAAAGACGGGUUAUAGCAAGCACGAUACAACUAUAGGCACUGGCCUCAUGGUUUCCCACAAUGCAAAAGGCAGAAUCAUCAGAAACAAAAAUGUCAGGCAUACGCUAGGUGUGGAUGUUAAAUAUAUACCUCUGUGGGCAGGCCGGGUAAGGCCAUUGCAUCAGCUUGAUUACCCACUUUAAGCCCGCCGUUCUCUUUGCUUUUUCUCACAUCUGCAUCAGACGUCUUCGUAUGAUCAUUUCCAGGAGCUUUCACUUUUGACUUCAGAUCAUCCACCAUAACGUUAUUCCUCACAUGUUGACCCGAUUUCCCAUUCUCUGAACUCAGGUUUUCUCUCGAAGGAAGAGGAGCUGGCGUCGCCUCGGUCAUAUUGGCUAUACUUGUAGAAACUGUAGAUGUCUUACGGGCAGGUUUAACUGAAACCAUUUACUAGUGACAAUAAAUAAUAGCAAACGGGUUAACGAAAUGUCCCAUUGUGUUGUGAAUUACCCACCCGCGAGCGUCUCAAUGAUAGAGAAAGAACUUGAGAAGGCGUAAGUCUGCACAGCAUCAACAUUUUACACAUUCAAAAUUUGUAAGCACUAGUGAUUUUGAGUCAAGAGGAAGAUAACCUACCUGGGAAUCCACACUGAGGAAAUCCCACACUUCAAUUGAUCCUGAAAUUCUUGGUAGUUGCAAAAGCUUCUGAGCAAAGUAGAGAAGGAUAAUUUGCAGAUUAAGAAAAACUGGGGAAAAAAUUUAUUCAAAGCUUUUCAUUCACAUGUUAGUUAACGUGGAAGAACACAAGGCAUGUGAAAAAGAACUAUGUACAAAGCUUCAAGCAUAAGAACUACCAGCACUAGUUACAGAGCAGUAGUCCAUAAUGAUGUUAUAUGCAUCUAACGAUUCAGCAUUAGCUUUUCAAAAAUCCCAAAGUAACUACCAGAACAUGAAAACACAAACCCUAAUUCACAGUCAACCUACUCUUAAAAACAGAAUUCAUUUAACAAACAAAACAAAUUCUUAUACAAAGCACCAGCACAGACUAGAAACAAGAGACAUGACAUUUGACCUUGAGAUAGGUAUCAAGCAGUACACAUCGCUCGUGUAUAACAGGUAUGUCCACGCCUGUUGAUAGGAAAUGCUUCGGCGGUAAAUAAAGAUUGUACUCGGGAAACACUUUAAGCCGCUGGUGAAGCUCUUCAAAAUGUCGAAAUCUGAAAGUUCACAUAAACAUUAAAAAAAUAUAAAUAAAGCACCAUCAUCAGAUCCGUAACAGUAAUAUUCUAUCACCUUCUUUUGAUAGACCAGCUAUGAUUACUAUCAUCUGUGACGGAAAUUGAAUACACGGCAAACAUCUUAGAACUACUCUUCACAAUAUUGGCACCCAUAACCUGCGAAAAGAACCUAAAUGCAUCCAUCAUACGAUCCAGCAUACAAAACAUCAUUGUCUGCAACUAGCUGUUUAACUGUACCUCACAUCUCAAUUUGGCAAAGGAAUCAACCAACAAAGAACUUCUAGGGGCACUGAGAAGGUCACUUUCUGGCAUUGAAUUGUAUGAUGCAGACGAUGUUGCAGAGAUUCCACUGUAUGAUCUCGCCAAAGAAUCAUGUUCAGAAUCAUCGCUAUCAUCAUCGCCUAGAAUGAGUCCAGAACGUUUGGAUCUCUUCCUGCUAGACUGAUGCCUGGAUGCUUUCUCAUAACGUUCAUGCCCUUUUCUGGUCUGUUUGAAACGACGACCAGAAUUUUCAAGUGGAUGGUGUAUCCGUGAAACACUAGGAUUUUUGUUCGUUCGACCAUCCCAGACUCGAGUCCCAGGACUGUUUAGACCUGUUACCGUUUCCUCGUCCUCAGAUGUAGAAGAAUGACUACUUUUUGUUUCCUCGUCCUCUUCAGCAGAGGAAUAACUUGAUAAGUGACUGUCUACUACCUUAGGCUGACUGGAUCCUCUUGCAUUCACAGUGUUUUCAUUGAAGUUUUUAGGCCGUGCAUUAUCACCAUCGUUGCACGAUUCCUUGAUAGAAAGUCUCGGGGGCACCCUCUCACCUUCCUUCUUUUUAUAAUUUCUUCCUUUUGCCCACACGCUUUCAAGAUGCUCUGGAGAAAGGGUCUCAGUUUUCCUUUGUGACAUCUUCUCUAAUACGUCACCCCAUCCCUCUCCUCCUCGAUGCCCUUGAAGAUAUUUACUAUCAUCAACUAUUUUGGAAGUUAAGGGGAGGGACUCCCACGAUUGGGAAGAUCGAGUGUCCAUUGAAAGCAAUGGAUCUUUGGCCAAAUCUGCUACAUGCUGUUUAUCUGUAGCAUUCUUCCUUUUUUGCUGUUCAUGUUUCAGUUGCACAAGCUCAACACCUGUGACAGAGGGAUCCAUAUAUCUCGAAAAAUGAUCAUGAGAAACUUCCGAGAGAUCUUCAGAUUGAGAAGUCUCUUUUGCAGCACUAGAUCCGCCAUUAGUCUUUGUCCUUGACAUCACAGCAGCUUCAAUCCUCUCAUUAAUGAACCUGAAAGAGAAUUUGAAAAUCACGGUGGUGAAUAUAAGAGGAACCAAAUGUGGUCCAAAAAGGUAAUAACUUACCGAGGAUUGGCUAAAUUUAAGACUGGUCGCAUCACACAGCAAGCAAGAAGCUCCCUCACGGUAUAAUGGAAAAAAGCACAGUGCAUAUCCUCAGGCCUAAAUGUAAGUGAAAUGAGUCUGUCCAUUAUAUGUUGCAAAACCUACAAAAAAAAAGGCAUACUAUAACCACCUGAUAGCGAUAAAGUGGUAAAACUCUACAUAACAGCUCGAAGCCACUUAAGACUGAAAAGAACCUUAUGCUCAGAUUCAGGGGAGAAUAAUGCAGGGUGCAAUUUAUCAUUUGUGGCCAUCACACGUCUAAGUUCUGAGUCUCUCUCUUCGAAGCUGAGACUUCUCCUUCGUUUUCUCUCAAUCUUUGCUUGACAUUCACGGAAAAGCUCCACAUGACGACAUAUAAUAUCAAUUAUAUCCCUGAAUCAACCAGACAGUUCAGUUCCUUGAAACCGCAAUCAUAAGAGAAACUCAAAGACACUAAAAAGAACAAACCUUGUAAACAGAUCAAUAAGAUUAACGUUCCUAAACCGCCGCGAAAGUUCUCCAAGAACAUGGUUAAUAAUAAACACCAGCUCCUCAGGACCUUGCUUAUCCGGAGUUAUCCGGGAGUACCAGAGAUCAAGCACCCAUUCCGAAACGAGGUGACGGGUGAAGCGAUCCAAUGCGUCCUCAACAACCUGUGAGUUCACUUUACUUCUCCAGUCAGACCGUGGAGCUGCUUUAGGAAGCUCUGGAGGUUUACUUAGAGACGGUCCACUCAGUGAAGACGGUUUGUUAUUGUAAGCUGCAGCCUUUCUUUUCAUUUCGACGUCAAAUGAGAAGUAACGAAGGAGGAUGAUCAAGCACGCAGCAGCAGGGAGGUUGACCCAAACCGAUGAACUCGUCACUGCAAAAACGUUUAAAAACAAUAAAAUCCUAAACCCUAAAAGCUCAUCAAGUUCUAAACACGUAAUCAAUUUCAUAGUGUUGAUCGAACUUACGAGAGAGGAGGUAUGAGAGUCCGACGACGCAUAUCACCAGUAUAACGAUUCGUUUCUUGGCUUCCUCUACCAGGUCACGAACUGUCACCGCCUGCUUCUGGCUGCUCAUAGCUGAAUCAAACCUCGUUUCCUUCUCUGUUCUCUCAGAUGAUUAGGGAAGGAAGUAAGGUCUCAUUCCUGAGCCGGGGAAAUUAGGAAACGAUUUUCGAAUACGGCCGGAUUGUAGAGAGAUGGGAUGAUUCUGAUUCGAUGACUGGAGAAACGAAGGCGAAGGAGCUGGAAUCGACGCCUAGGGGAUUAUAUAGUCGAGCAAUCGAUAGAAUCAGCGGUAAUGGAGUCUCUCUCUCAGUGACGACUUGGUGCGUUUCUACGGCGAAAGUUCCCGGGAAUGUGAGAUCUUUGAUUAUUCUCUCUCAAGAGAGAGUGUUGCGAUUAAUCAAAUGUUGCAAUUGGCAUUUGGCAACCAAGUCUAUAUGCUCUCGGUGAGCGUCGAACUCGGGUUCGCCCAAAACCCUUGGCUGUUUCGUUAAUUUGAGUGGACUUCGGUUAAAAUCGGUUCAGGUUUACCGGAUUUAACCGUCUUGACUAAAAGGCCGAAACUACGGUUUUUAAAGCCCAUAUAAAAUAUUUCGUCUCUUCAAAUAAUGUGUUAAAACGGCUUCGUUUCGAGUGAGCGUCUUUCCCGUCCGUGCAGCCUGCAGGUGUGACGAUGGGAGACACCGUCGAGGAGAAGACCGCCGUAAUCCAAGCUCCAUAAUCCAAAGAGGGACUAAGAAGGUAAGCAAUACCCACAAACUUUUUUACAAAGUGGGUCUCUUUACUCUCGCUAUUUUGUUAUUUAGGGGUAUGAAGCUAUAGCAUUGCCUGAGCCUGCACCAAGGCAAUUACCUAAGAAUGAGGAUCCUAGUCUAGUUAAGAGAAACAGAAGAAUGCUGGGGAAUCUUCUAGGGACUUUGGAGGUAUUUGUUUACAGAAUACAUGGACAUAUCUCUCUUGCUUAUGUUUUUUUAUAGCCACUCAUGGAUGAGCUUGUUUCAUUUCGUUACGUUCAUGUCCCUUCUGCAGAGGUUCAGAAAGGAAGAUAAACAGCUUUCUGGAACAGAUGCCUAUGCCCGACGGUCUGCUGUUCUACAGAAGGUAAGAACACACUUCAUGUUCACUUGGCGUGUUUAACUUAAAAUCAGUACAAGCUAUUGCUGUUUAUUGAGGGAAACAUCAUUUUAUGCUACUUGAGUAGCAUAAAUAUAUCUGGAUAUGAUUUAUCUUUUGGAAUUGAGUCUUCUUGAUAUUUAAUUUGAAGAUAUUAGUAAUGUUGCUAAGAUGUUAGCUUGUAAGGUAUCUUAAAUUACCUUACAAUUAGUAAGGUAAUUUAAAUUACCCGUGUCCUUCGUACUCGUAUAGGCUGAGCAAAAGGCUCGUGAAGAAAGUGAGCGACUAAGGAUGCAAGAGCGUGAAAAUAUGACUGAAAAGAGGAGAAGAGAUCUUGUAAGCAACCACCUACGAUUUAUUCUCUUUUACAUACUACUCCAAAGGGCAUUCAGGUGUACUACUAGUGUUCUGAUAUACAAUUUAACUGGUCAAUCAGACGCUUCGAGCCCGUGUUGCUGCUAAAGCAGAACAAAAGGAGUUGGAACUGCUAUUCCUUCGGUGGUGUGAGGAGAAGAAAAAACGAAGCAAUUUUAUAAGGUACUGUUGAGAUGCUGUUUUCAUUUCCAUAGUAACCUUACUUCCUCUGCAUGGUGAGUCUUGAUGAUGAGUUCCCUUUUUAUUAUAUCUGCAGGUUAUUUUUUAUUUCGGUCCAAAGUGUGCAUAUUCACAAUUUAAUAGAAGCAAAGAUAAGUUUCCCUUCACGUGUAUGCACAUGUUGAUGGGCCAGCGAUAGGUAGAAAUUGCUAGCUGAUAUUAUAUGUUUCUGUUAACAUUCUUUGCAUUUGAUUUCAUAUGGACGGCUGUUUCAGGACUAAAGCAGAGCAACUGACGCGGACCAACGCAAAGAACAGGUAAGAUGUAGUUUUGUGAAUGAAUGUUUUGACAUACAUGCUAUGUGAUACUGAUAUGUGAAUGGUGACGUAUGGCGCAGACAUUCUUAGAAUGGAAGGCAGCCAAGAGACAAGAAGUGAGUGAGUAUCAAAAGGAGGUAGAAGAGCGAUUUCUAAGUAAUGUCGAGAAAGAGCUGGAAAGGUGGCAAAACGCAAGGAAGGCGAGGAAAGCAAACAACGAGGCUAUGAAUUUGCAGGAGACAAUGGAUAAGGAGUUAGAGACGCAUAGGAUGGAGCACGGGCUAAAGAAAAGGAAGAUACCUGGAGCUGGAGGAGAAGAUGAAGAAGAUGAAGUAGAGGAUAUCAGUGGUGGGGAGGAUGAUAUAACAAUAGAUGAUUUACUGCAAGAGGGAGGAGAUGGAAACGUCAAGGAAGUGGCCACUGAUACUGCAGAAGCAGUGGAAGGCGACAUUACACUUUAAGUUGUCAAAGAUGUUAGUGUGUUUGUUCUUGAUGCUUGUGUUACUUAUAGUGCACCUUAUUAUGCGGGAGUUUACGAGUUAGAAAACGACUGAGAAAAUCUAUUUCAGAGGGGUGUUAGCUGGGGAAACUGGAAAAAUCUAUGCUGGAGUGUGUUAUUGAAUGAAGGAUUUUGCCUUGUGCUAUAAUUUUGUGCUACAAAUUAUUCAUUAUUACUGUAAAAAAUAAAGAGGCAGUAUUAUUGCAACAAUAGUACAAAUCUUCUACCACAAUUGUGUAACCGGAUGAACAUAUGGCCCAUGUAAUCUUUAGAUGCGUGGCUAGUUACGUUACCCUUACGCCAAAGCCAUACGCUUUCUCGCUUCAAGGGCCUAGGAGUUCAGACAAGGCAUCCAAAUAAAUAUUUAUUGUCCAUUUCACAAGAGAAACAAGUCAUGAAGAAGGGACAAUAAGAAAAGAAAACGAACCUGGUUUUCCCAGUUUGUGCAGCCAGUGACAAGUGCUAGCAGAAACGUUUGCAGAAGGGAACCAGUUUGUAUUCCAACCCAAAGACCAACACCUUUCAGAUUAACCCAAAAGGCUAACGUUGCUGCAAAGGGUAUCCCCCAGAGAUAGAAAGAUCCUAAAUUGAUGUAAGCUCCUAUAUGUUGCCAUCCACAUCCCCUUGCAAUACCUGCUAAUCAUUUUAAAAACUGUUAGGAAGUGGCAGAGAUGAGUAUAACUUUGAGAUGGCUUUAACAUGAGUAGACAUGAAGCACUUGGCAGUUUCACAUAUGUUGACAAUAAAUCUAUAUUUUGAGUAAAGAAAUAGGACCUGAGAGAACCCCUUGUAAGCUGUCUAGUAUGAUAGUGAUAGAGACCAAUGGAGCCAUCUUUGCAACAUAGUCGACGGUUGCCUUGUCACUGCUGAAAACAUACCCGAAAACAUUCCUUGCAAGUAAGAGAGACAAACUCACUACCACUGAUUCCAUUAGUGCAAAGGACGUUGCUGCGUAGACCACAAUAUGUGCUGCUCUAUAGUUUCCAGCACCUAGUUCAUUUGAGAUUCUUGUGCUGCACAAGAAAACAUCCACUUAUGAAACAUGAAACCACAUGACUUAAGUAUUGAUAAUGACUAAAGAUCUAACCUCGCUGCAGCGGCGAUUGCAAGCGGUAUUGAAUAGAUUGUCGAAAUUGUUUGGAGACUACACAUAGAUUGAAUAAACAUUAUGUUUUGGAAGAUUCAAGAAAAUGAAAUUUAGAUACAAUGGAGACUGGAGAGUUACCAGACAGAGAGGACAGAAGUCUCUAGUUCAGGGUUGGGUAAGAGACCAGAGAGUAAUAUCAUGAGUUCAUAUGACCACCACUCUAGGCUGCAACAACCCAUAAAAGAAGUAUUUUAAAAAAUGUGGAGGCAAUAGAGAAGUUGAAAGGCACAUAGAAAGAUGGAAGUACCAAACCAUAGCAGCAGAAGGAAGAGCAUAUCUAAAGAACUCUCCAACGCCGUUGAAUAUCUCCAUGGAGAGAGGCGCACGUGUCUCAGAACAGGCAGAGGAGAAGAACAUGAUAGAUCCGAGAAGAAUAGCAUAGAGCCAGUUCGACAAACCCAUAGCCAAGGCUCCUCCAAGAAAGCCAAGCCCUGACUUGUAAACCAAAAGCCAGCAUAGAGGAACAUGGAGACAGAACACACAAGAAGAGGUAAUGAGGAGAGGUCUGAUCAUGCUCUGGUUCUGGAAAUAGCGAGUGAGAGGCUGUAGAACGGCGUAGGAGAAGAGUCCAGGGAUGAGCCAUGCAGCAUAUCUACCGGCUUCGUGUGCGAUAGCGUGGUCUUGGCCAAGGAAGAUAAGAAGCUUCUCCAUGUUGAACCAGAUGAUAGAGAGAGGGAAACAGACUAGUGUAAGACAGAACAUAGCUGUGUAUGUCUGAACACUUAGUUUCUUGUAUAGCUUAGCUCCAUAAGCUUGACCGCUCAGAGUAUCCAAGGCACAUGACAACCCUAUCUAGCAUCACACAAAGAGAAAAAAAAAAGAGAGUAACGAUCAAAUGGUGAAGACAGGGCCGGUCCUGAGAUUCAAAUGGAUUAAGUAUUAUAUUUUUUAAUCAUUUUGGGACUAAUGAUAUAUAUAUAUAAACCAAUAAUAUUUUGGCCGCCAUAGACGAAUGUUUUAUCUGGCUAUUGCUAUGAUCAGGACCGCCCCCUUACGAGGAAAGGAGAAAACAUUACGAUGAAGCUGAAGCCAGUAACGUUGCAGAAGGAAGAAGCUAAGGAGGCGCUAGCGAGAGCGAGGUUACCAAGGUGACCAACCAUCACCAUUGAGAUGAUCUGUAACGUGAACUGAGCUAUGACCACAGCCGCCAUAGGAGCGGCGAAGAAGAUGAUCCGCUUUAGCUCUUCGGUGUAUGAUCCCUCUCGCUGAUCUCUCCAUGUCUCUUUCUCGACUCUGUCUACCGGAAGCAGCAAACUAUCAUUGAUGCUGUUCUCCAUGGCGACUGCCAACAAGCUAGCCGGAGAGAGAUGGAGAUUUGUGUUAGAAUGUUAUAAAGACUUGGCUGCAUGUCUCGGUCCAACUAAUGUUUUGCGACUCCAAUAAAUUAGCAAUUUAAGUUGCGACUAGAUCCCAACGACUUUUCCUUGUUCAAUCGUUUUUCCUCAACUACAAUUAAUUAUGUAUUGUCAUCGUCGUAUGUAAUGUAUUGAAUUUAAUUGUCAGAUGUGUCGUUUUGCGGGGAUUCAGAAUUUAUUUUUUCAUUCUAUGUUGAAAUGAAUGUCACAUUUCUAUUACUAGUUAAUGAUCAUCAAAUCAUUCAUUCAUACAUGUUUUUGCGUUUAUUGUAAUGUUUUGUUGUGACUUCAAACUCGUGUUUCUCAUAGUCAGCAACGCUGUUUUGACCUUUCCCAUUACUUUUCAGUUUUCACACUCUUUUUCCGUACUAAUUUCUUCUUUUCCCAAUCACUGUAGUGUUAUUAUGAAGCUGGUAAAUUUUUAUUGGAAUCUUUUUCCACUGCCGGCUAAAAAAAGUUGCUACAAUUCAAAGUUGUUGAUUAUAUUGUCACUUCUCUUUAUGGUAGUAAACCUUUUAGUAUUAUUAAUACACAAGUAGCUGGGUAAGAAGAUAGAUAGUAUCAUAGUAAACGACAUCUUGGUCGUCUACGUGGCUGGGUAAAAAGAUAGUAAACGACAUCUUGAGCGUCCACGUACAAAACAGAGGACCAAGUGCAGAUUUAAAACAUGUCGAUCACUUCUUUCACCCAUGCGCAAUUUAGCCACCGCCUCUCAGGCCUGGGCUUUUUACACACACUCUCCUACCACAGCUAAAGUAGAGUCUUUUACUUCAAGUUUGAUCGCUCCUCUUCUUAGCUGUAUUCAGUGAUCCAAGUAUGGUCUAGAAGGUUUCAGUGCAGAUUACAAUCCAUAUCCAACGCUUUCAAAGUUAGUGUCUUUCUUGCAUUUGGUUUGGACGUUGGUUACUGCUUUUGCAAGGUCUAAACUAGUUUCAGAUCCUGCUGCCACGGGAGUGGUGCUGUGCGGACAAAGACAAAUGGCCGAGGUAUGCACUGGGAGCUUAUAUGUUUACGUGAAAAGAUGAUUUGUAACUUUAUCAUUUGUUUGAUAUGGUGUUGGAGGAGGUAACAUCAACGCUUGUAGCGGAUGGAGUCUCAAGUGACAAGAUGCUCAAAAACCUUUUGACACAUAGUUCUUUGUAAUAUCAUAGUUCAUACCGUUAGUGGUUCCUUAUCAGUAUUCUUUGCUACCAAAGUCUUUGGAGUCCCUUCUAAUCCAUUAAACACAUAGCCUAGUAGCCUAGUUUUUUUUUGUAGUCCCCUUAAAGAUUAACAAUAAUGUGUUGUUUGUUGGUCACCACUACAUUCUUGAUGAUUGACUCUGCUUAGAACAUCUCCAACCCCACUCUAUUUUUCACUCUAUAAUAGAGUAAAAAAUAGGUUUACUCCAAAUAUAAAGUAAUUUAUUUAUUUUUGUUCAUCACUCUAUUUUCUACUCUAGAAUAGAGUACCAUUGGAGCAAACUCAAACUCUAUUAUAGAGUUACUCUAUUUUAGAGUAAAAAAUAGAGUAAGCCAUUGGAAAUGGUCUAACGACUCCAAAUUUUUAAAGUUACUGGACCUAGUUCCUACAUAUACCAACAACAAAAUGUAUAUGCGGAAAUUAUAGAGAGGUUUAUAAAUAUUUUAGCUUAUAAAUCGUAUGAACAACAAAUUUAUCCAAAUAAUUUGGUGAUUUUUAAUGAGUUUCCAAAGAAAAAUUAGUGAAGAUCAAGUCAUUAAGCAAAAAAAAAAAUCGAAAAAAAAAAAAAGAUCAAGUCACUGACUAAGAGAGUUAGACUGCGUGCCGUUUCCAUAAAAAAGAACAGAACUUAAUGCCGUCUCCUGCACGAUCUUUUUCCUUCUUUGGCACGCCGUCUCCUACACGAUCAAAUCCUUAAUCAAUAAGGAUCAAAGAAACCAAAACUUGACGAGAAAAAAAAAAAAAAAAAAACAGAAAGAGCGAUCAAAGUGGAUUCCUCAAUCCGCCAUGGCUUCCUCGGCUCUCUCUAACCUAAUGCUCGCCAUCCACGAGAAGAAAACUUCCUCACUCGAUCUCUACCGCCCCCUCCGCAACUACGUCACCUUCACCUACUCCGAGCGCGAAGCUCAGCUCAUAGAAGACGAUCUCGAAACCCUCAAGCAACUCCGCUCCGACGUGGAACGUGUCCCCGAUCCAUCCCCCUCCGCACGGCGCGACCUUCUCAUCUCCUACUACAAGGCCCUCUGCCUCGUGGAGACGCGGUUCCCGAUCUCCCCCGAUCAGCACCACGUCAACGCCGUCUCGUUCCUGUGGUACGACGCCUUCAAGCAGAAGCAGAAGGCCUCGCAGCAGAACAUUCAUCUGGAGAAAGCGGCUGUGCUAUUCAACCUCGGCGCUAGUUACAGUCAGAUUGCGCUGGGGUGUGAUCGGACUACGGUGGAGGGGCGGCGUCAGGCUUCGCAUGCGUUUAUCGGUGCGGCGGGGGCGUUCGCGUGGGUGAGGGAUAAUGAGUCUGUUAAGGCGAUGAUUGGGCAGAGUAGCACUACGGUGGAUGUGAGGGUGGAGUGCGUGGGGAUGUUGGAGCGGUUGAUGGUGGCGCAGGCUCAGGAAUGCGUGUUUGAGAAUACUAUUGCUAAAGGGAGUACUCCUGGUGUUUCCGCUAAGAUUGCUAGUCAGGUUAGUGUAGGCAUGCUUGGUUAGUUCGGGUUAUUCGGUUCGGUUUAGUUCGGUUCAACAUAAGUUUUUACCGAAUCGAAAGUUCGGUUCGGUAUUCAGUUACAAUAGUUGAGAAUCCUACCGAAGUUUUUGAUUUUGGUUAAAUUUUGUUAAAGUUUCGGAUAACUUCGGCUAAAUUGGUUAAUUUAUUUAGUCCGGUUCGGGUUUUUUGUAUGGUUUGAUAUUAUUAUUUUUUUAAUAAGAAAACCAAAUUAAUCGAUUGCCGAACAGAAAACCUACCGAAUCGAACCGAGUUUUUGGUUAGAAGUUCGGUUCAAAAUCCGAGGCCUUGUUGGUGGUGUGAUAGUGUAGAUUGAAUUUGCAUUUUCUUGUUUGCUUGUGUUCAGGCUGGCAUAUACUACGAGGAAGCUUUGGCUGCUUUAAUCGUUUCACCAUUGAAGGAUCAUUUUGAGAAAGGCUGGAUAUCUCAUGUGCAGAUGAAAGCAGCAUUGUUCUACAGUGAAGCUUGUUAUAGAUAUGGAAUGGAGUUGCACGAGAAAGAGGAGAUUGCGGAAGAGAUAGCUCGGCUGAAGAGCGGAGCUAGCCGUUUGGCAGAAGCUAAGAAGUCUUCAAGGGGAGCUCCUGCGCAGCUUGUAGAAGCGAUGAACAAAUUAGUGGCGAACAUUAAUUGCAAUUUGGAUAGAGCUGUGAAGGAAAAUGAUAGAGUGUACCUUAUGAGAGUUCCUUCUCCUGCUUCUUUGUCUCCGCUUCCUACCUUCUCAAUGGUUAAGCCGAUGAACAUGACUGAGAUAUUGGAUGCAAGCAAGGAGAAGAUGUUUGCCAUCCUUGUUCCGGACAACAGUGCAAAGGCUCUCUCUAGAUACACUGAGAUGGUUGAUGAUGUAAUUAGGACUCAGGCGGAGAGAUUACAGCAAGCAAGUGAACUAACUCGAGUUAGGCUCAAAGAGAUGGACCUUCCAGAUUCUAUUCUUGCUGUCGAUGGUAAUUCGACUCUCCCUACUGAUCUUAAAGACGAUGUAGAGGCUGUUCAGAUCAGUGGCGGUCCAGCUGGCUUGGAAGGUGAACUUCAGCAGCUUAGAGAUUUGAAGAGGGUUAAUCAGGAACUGUUGGUGCAAACCGAAGAGCUUUUGCAGAAAGAAGCAACUGAAGACGCUCAGUUCAGAAGCCAAUUUGGGACACGGUGGACUAGGCCUCAGUCUUCCACACUGACAAAGAACUUGCAGGAUAGAUUAAAUCGGUUUGCAGCCAAUUUGAAACAAGCUGGAGAAAGUGAUGUGAAGAUUGAGCGAUCGGUGAGAGAGAACUCUGCCCUCAUGUCCAUUCUUGAUCGACGGCCGGUAUGCAUUUCCAAUUUUUUGUACAAGCUAGUUUAUUUCUCUUGUUGAGGCUCAAAAUGCUGCCAGAAGUUGUCUCUUAGUGUCUCUCGGUGUUAUUCAAACCACGCACUUGGGUCCGGUAUAGCCCACUCAAAUGUGAUUCUUAAAUGUUGUGGUUUUCUAUUUUGAUCAUCAGAUAGAAGCUGCCGUCCCAACUCUAGCUAAGCCAAUGAUGUCGCUGGAUGCAACAGAGGAUGCUAUAGUGGGAAAUCUGAAGCAGAGUCUGGUAUUCCCUAUUUCUUUUGGAAGCUGUAUAUACUUUCACGAAUCAGUAUUUUAACAAUUUUGUUUCCUUUUGCACAGAGGCAACUGGAAAAUUUAGGUGCUCAGCGAGCUGGUCUUGAAGACAUGCUCAAAGAGAUGAAGAGAAAAGUGAACAUUUUAAUAGAUUUUUCAUCAUUUUCUUUCUUGGUUAUUUUUUGAUACUGGAGUCAAAGACUUAUUAGGCUUUUACAUGAUACUUUGUUUUAGGAUGACAUACUGCCAAAGCUGAUGACGUCAACCGGCUCCUAUGAAGAUAUGUUCAGGAAAGAGAUGUCAAAGUACGAUCACAUCUGUCAAGAUAUUUCCCAAAAUAUUGAAGUUCAAGAACAAUUAUUAAUGCAAAUUCAGGUACCUCUUUUGUCCAUUCUUCUAGCAGCACUUCACUUUUCACUAUGGUUUUGGUCCUUUUUGUGAUAACCAAAGAACGUAUGGUGAUGGCAUUCACUGUAGAAGAAUAUUUAGUGUGCUAGCUUUUACUGAGACUGAAAUGGUCUUGUUUUACUGUUAGGAGAAACUGACUACUCAUAAUGGGUUUCUUUCCUUGGUUAUAGGCUCAAAAUGAAGAGUUCUCAACUCUUUUCAAUCUUGAAGAUUAUAAAGGUGAGCAAACAGCUUCUAUCUUGCAUGAACUCUAUAAAUGUUCUAAUAAGUAUGUGAUGAUACAAAGUAGUUUGUGAUUUAACAUUCUACAUGUUGGCUGAUGUGCCAUCCAGGCAUCCAUGAUAAAAACGGUUUACAUUCUGUAUGUCAGUUAUUUUGCUCCCACGUAAUUGUUUUAUGUGAUUCCUUGUUCUUCAGCAUCCAGAGAGAAUUGCUACAAGCAGAUUCAAGCGGCUAUAUCCAAGUACCGAGAGAUCAAGGAGAACGUCAAUGAGGGCUUGAAGUUCUAUGUCACUCUUCAAGUGAGUUUCUUUUCUUUAUAUAGUUGCAAGCUCUUCACUGUCAAAGCGUCUACAUUAUGUCACUUGUCUUGGAUGCUCUUAAAAUUUGAUUGUUACACUCCAUUGAAGAUGCAAAAUAGCUUUCCUGCAAUCUGAGACACAGUCUUUGUUGGCUUAACAGGAUGCAAUCACGAAUGUGAAGCAGCAGUGCAGUGAUUUUGUGAUGACAAGGAGCAUCCAGUGCCGAGAAAUGAUUGAAGAUGUGCAACGACAGAUGUCUGGUCUGAGUUUUCAGGAUCAUAGAAGCUCCGGUCCAUACCCAUCUGUGCAUCAGCGAACGGCUUCAACUUCGCCGCCCCCACCAGAAACUCAGAACUCAUCUCAUCCUCACCCACACCCACACCCACACCCACACCCACAAGCACCUUUCUAUAUGCCGGCAGAGCAACAACCACGACCUGGCUACACUAUCCCACCCUAUGGUCCACCUCCACCAUACCACACACCUCAUAGCCAGGCGCCGCCACAACCAUACCCUCCCCAGGCCCCGCAACAGCCUUAUCCAUCGUGGCAACAAGGCCCGUACUAUGAUCCUCAGGGACAGCAGCCUCGGCCUCCUUAUACUGCUCAUAACCCGUACCCGCCUCCUCACCAAGGCGGUGGAUACUACAGGCAGUGAACUGUACCUUGGGAGCAAUAAACUUGAUGUUAUUGUUCUCAGUGGUGGGUUUCAUGUGAGUACGUGAUGGCUAUCUACUUCUAUAUGUUUUUAGUGAAAUUGAAUUUUGCUUGAAAGUGACCCAUUCUUUGAGUUCUCAAUACAAAGUAAAGACGAUAUGAUGGAAGGAAGUCAUGUAAAUCACAUUUAUACAUUACAUAAUUCAUAUAUUUAUUUUUUAUAUUGGUUGAAGCUGGUAGAUGAGUUUAUUGAAACUCGAAGCCUAAUAAUUUGAUUUGUUGAAAGAGAGGCAAAUUCUUCAAGUUAUUAGGCAUGAUGAGAGCACAAUAACAAUGUCUGCGGUAUAGAAACAAAACAGAGGAGCAGAGAGCCAUUUGGCACAUUGAGGUUUGCAGUUACGAAAAAAAGAUUCAAACAUUCACUGCGUUUUAUACAUCCUUUCAAUUUCAAACCACAUGAAGCAGAAUCAAGACAGUUUCGUCUCCACCUUGGCUUUUUAAUCAUUUUAGUUUUGCAAACAGCUUUGGUGCAACCUGAAGAUCCAAAAUCACAGUUUUCAUCUCAGUAUACAUAAAGUAGAACAAGAAGAUGUGAAGAGCAAAGCAAAUACUUACACAUUUGUCAAUGCAAUGCCAGUAGUCGAAGUACUGGCCAGUGCAAUGCUUGUGGCCAGAGUCAUCGCCUUGGAUUCUCUUCACACACGCCUAGCAACCACAGAAAAAGAAAAGACUUAUAUAUCAGCAAACAACGAUCUUCACACACACAUGGAACUAUGUCAAACUUAAUACAUGAUUCACAAACAAACAGUUUCCUGGCAAGUUUACCUGAUAUUCGAGUAGCGGCUUCACACAUUUUGGUUUGCAAGAUUCCUCAAGGUACUUCUUUGGAUCAACAACUUCAUCCUCUGCCCUAAAAUUAUCAAAAACGAAAGAUAAAAAAAAAAACAAAUCACAUCAUCUUCAUAAUUAAACCCGUGUGAUAAUAGCACACAAGAAUCUUCUUUUCGAUUUGAGACAUCACACUUUGACAGAAGGUCAUACUCAAAAGCUCUAGUCAUAAGAUGCAAAAAUCAUAAGAGCAGUGUGGCAUAAGAUAUACUACGCAACAUCUCAAUCAGCAAGCUAACAUUACAGACUAGAGAUUCAGAGACAUACAGGAGAUCGUCUAUCUACUCAACAUGAUGUAGAGAUUGGUAAAAAUAUGUAUAUAAAAGAACGGCAUCGAGUUUAAGGUAUGAGCUUACAUGUCUGAAAGUCAAAAUCGGAAGCUGUAACCUGCAAGACAGAGAUGAGAAUGAAUGUCAGAAUAUAGAACCGAUUCGUUUGCGAUGGAUCGAUGUCAUCAAAAUGAAAUAAGAUCUGAUUGAAUUAGAAAAGGGAUUAGCGACGAAACCUGGUCGGGAGGAAGAGCAGAUCGAGACACGAAGGAGGAACCCUACAGAACUUUGUUGUUUGUUGAAGUCAGUCUUCGCUAGAUUCAUUUCAUUACGUUUCCGACAUGUUUGUGGGCCUCAGGUUUUGAAACUAAAGGCCCAUUAAAACUCGAUAAGCAUAAAGCCCAUUACAGAUUCGAAAAGGAGCAGAAUCUCCCAAGAUUCCCUAGAACGGACGCUAUGUUUUUUCUAAAAAGAUUCUUCUGACAGCAUCUUUUUGGCUUUAAGGAAGUUGUAAUAAAAUAAGAAUAUGAUGUUGGAAAACUGAUGAAACAUGGUCAAUAUUGUGUCUAAAGCACAUGUGAUGUUGGACGGCAGUCGGCACGUCACACGAUCUAAUAUUUAUCCACCAAUAUAUCUCUUUUUUUCCAUUUUCUUAACAAAAUUUAAUUAAAAUGUUGAUUGAAUGAUAUGAUAAUACAGAAUAAUAGGGAGGUAAGAGACUUGAUUGCAUUUAUCUCAGACAGUCUGACACUGUUGGUAAUAUAUUAAUGUCGUUGAAUCAUGUUUGUGUUUGAUAUAUACGUAUGUACAAUUUUGAAUAGCAUAUUAAAACUGUACUUCUAGUUAUUGAGUUGAUGGCAGCACAUACCUUCAAUGAUAAUAGCAUUUAAUAUAUUGUUGUAAAUGCAUUGUAAAAGAUGACAGCAAAACAGGAAAAAAAUAUCUCAAAAAGCAGAAGAAGUGUGAGUAGGGUAACCAAAUCAACAGUAAUGAUGUUAAUGUCGUUAACAUGUUUACCAUUCAAAGUUUCUAAACCAACAUCUUAGUCAGUUUUGAGUGGGCAGAAGAGAACAAAGAUAAUGAAAGCAAUUUAAAAGAAUUGAUAAGAAGCUCUGUAAUGUAAAAUAUCACACAACUAAUCCCUAAAAGAAAAAAAUUGCAUUUACAUUGUUUCUUUCUUCUCCCUAUUUACAAAUAACCAAAACCCCUACAAUGGCAUUUAUCUGUCUCACCUCUCCCCUCUGCUGCAACAAUGAUGAUGAGCUUAGCGUCUCUUUCUCUCUAAGGUCCUCUGUAUCUUCCAUGUCCAACCCAGCAAAAAGGCCACAAGUCCAAGUCCCACACUUCCCCAAAGUGUCACUACCCACAAUGGCAUCUCUGUUGGGUACAAUCCUGUUUUUGCAUUCACCAAAACAACCAAGUUAACACUCUCCACACUAACCAUAAUAAGUAAAUAAACAGCAACUUACCAGUUCCAAACUUGAUGCAGAUGAGAAGUUCUACUAUGCAUAUCCCUGUUGAUAGCCAACAGAAUGAUCCCACCUUUUUUACAGGUUUCCUGUCAACAACCAAAACAACCUAUCAAACCUUAUGUUAACUAAACGCAAUCAUAGUGGCUAGCAGCUUAUACCGGUCUUGGAGAUAUGAAUUGUAUUCCCGUAUAGUUGGAAUCGCUAUGAGCCACCACAAGAUCAGCCUAUAGAGAAUCACUGGGUUUCGAGGAGGGAUCCAGAGGCUGAACUUGAGAAAGAAUGUGUUCAGCUCCACUGUUAAGAAGAUGAUGCAAAGAGUGAGUACUUGAAUAAAACGCCAAGGUCCCUGCAGAGGGUGCCACUCGUCUUUGUCCCAGUGAGCUGGUGUGAACUGCCCCAGUGUCCUUUUCACCUUGCCAAUAAUGUUAGGCUGGCGACUAAUGCCAACCCACUCGUAUGUUUUUCCAUCAAAGUAGCGUACUGUAUGCAUCCCUGCCCAGAUACCUACCAUCAUUAUAAAACAUUACUCAGCUCUCUACAUAAGCAUGACAUAUAGAAGGUCAAGGUGGCUUAAGGAUCAUACCAAACCAGUUGCAUAUCAAGAUAUCAAGAACAAUACUGUCCCACCAGCACUCGUUGAAAUUUGGUAACAUGUGCCGAAAAGUAAGCUGUAGAAACAUAAAUAUACAGGGGAAGCUUAUCAUUACAUUUAUCAAUUUGAGACCUGUAAGCACAUAAGGGAACAAAGACCAACCUCCAAUAACUCAAAACCAAUUGAAAGCACCCACAGAAGAGGCUGGUUCCGGAUAAGAAUUGCUUUCCCCCACCAUCCAAAGAUAUGGGCUAAGAAAAACUCGUCAAACACUGUGUCCUGUGAAAAUUGAUAACCAAAUCAUAAGCCUUUAGAUGAAUAUGAAAGUUAUUAUACCAACUCAAGAUGAGAAGCAGAUGCUAAGUCAAAAAAUAAAGAGGGGGAGUUGUGGAGAGAAGAUACCAUACAUAAAGAUUUUUAAACCUGUUUGUUGGGUGAUCAGGCACAUAAAUACGGCAAUCAGCACCGUAUGAUCUCUCAGGAAGUUCUGCAAACAUGACCAAACUCUAAUAAGAACGGUCACUCAUGUAAAGUAAACCACUCUGAAAAUAUUACCUAUUCCAAGGUCAGGGUGGAGAAACUUCAUGAACUGCCUAGCAUCAUCACGUCUCUGGAAGGAAGAAAAGAAAGUAACUAUUAGAGUUUGCUCACUAAAAUCAAGAACACAGAAGAGCUACUAUGAUCACUGGCAUAGAGAGAGGAGAAAAGUGAACCUGGAAGAGCAAAAAAGUAAGUGAAACUAAGUAAAUGACGGCUAAUCCAUGAACUAAGCGCCAGAUAGCAGGAUGUGGCCUGAUUAAAACCCUGCAUAACAGCAACCAACUUGGUUAAAGACAGAGGCAGCACAAGAGGAAGCAAGAGAAAGUAGAUGAGGUGAUUACGUUGAAGGAGCCUGGAGCAAAGAGUAAGCAAGAAAGACAGCAAUCAUAGCCCACACUCCCCUAGAAACAUAGUAUAGAGUAAGUAAUAAUAGAUUCAAAUGAAAAUAAAUAAAAAAGCAUAGAAAAAGAGAACCUUUUAACAGAUGUGACAAUAUCUUCAGAAGUAGUGCUUUCAGGAUCAAGAGCUCCACUUGCCCAACUAACUCAAUUCAAAAAAAAUAACAAACAUGAGGAUUGUGUGUGACACAGAGAGGAGAAGAAAAGCAAAGGAGGGAGAGAGGGAGUCACAUGAGAAGGCAAGCGCCAAUAAGGAGAAGGGAGAUAGUGCGAGGCUUGUAAGCCCAUGCAGUCCAUGGAUCAAGCUCACUUUCAGCAACAUCACCACCACCACCAUUCAUUCUCUUUGUUUCUUCUUUCAUGUAGCCAUUGGGUUCCAUGGGUAAAAUCAAACCACCUUGUGAGAAAAGUACAUAGAGAAGAGAUGAGAAGAGAAAAGGCAGAGAGGAGGGUAGUACAAGGUACAACAAGCAGAGAGAUAUAAAAAAGGCUCUGACUUUGCAGUGGUAAAGGGCAGGCACUCAUCAAUCAUAUGAUUCAAGUAACACAAAAACAAAUAAAAAGAGAUUGGGAGGAUACCUGAAGAAGAUAUGCUUUCUUCUCUGUUCUGUUUUGAGCUUCACGAUCUGAAAAAGACUCUGCCUUUCUCUAUCUCCGACGAUUUCCCCUUUUUUUAAUUUGCCCUGAAUCACCACCUUCUCCGUCCUUCCUUCCUUCUUCUUCAAUUUUAAUAUUCUCUGUUGUUUUGUCUUUACGAUAUUCAAUAUUAUCACCAGGAGGUAAUAAUAAUAACACUCUUCAAACGGUUUUAACAUCAUGUCGCAUUUCUUCGGUCUUAUUCGCAUUUAAUUCUUUUUUUCUUACCAAUAUAACUAAUACUCUCCAUCCGUUUUACAUUUUAUUUCACCAAAUUAAUAUUUUAGAUUUUUAUUAUAAAUUUAUAAAUAAUAUUUUAGUUUUAGUUUCAUUACUUUAAUAUAUUAAAUGGAAAAAAAUUAUGAAUUUAUUGAUAAUGGACCAAAAAUAGUUUUUGUGUACUGAAAUGUGUCAAAGAGACAGAGAGAGACUUCAUUCAGUACGCCAAACCCACAUCAUAAAUAUUAAUUUUUAGUAUAUAAAUAACGAAAUGCAGCAGGAUCAAUUAAAUAACAUUAUGAUCUAGAAAGAAAAACGCCAAAAAUUCUCGUUGUCAUCCACAUAAAACAUACGCCACAAUUUAUGGUUUUGGAAUGAUAAAAAUGCAAUAACUCUCAAGUGAUUGUUUCACUGCAACCAAAAUACACUUAAACACACACACAUCAUUUGCGAAAUAUAUUAAUAUUCUUAUUUAGGUAAUUGAUUUGACAGCUAUCCCCAAAAGUACAAAGGAGAAUAACAACCCUCAUUAGUAUAUAUAGUCAUUUCUUUUUAUUCAAUGACAAAGAAUGAAAUUAAAAGGUCGGAAAGGGUAGUCAUAGUGUGAAAUGAAGUUUAAGAGAGAAUUAAACAAGUCCAGUUGAUAAAGACAUGUCUAUGCGCUUAAAUUCAUCACCACUACUCUUGCCAUACAUCCUUUCAUGAACGUACAAAUAUUGUAGACAAGGGAACUAAUUCAUCUGCCUCUUCAUUAAGAUGAUUACCUACGUACUGAGAACAAUAUUUUUCUUAAAGCACCAAGGAAAACCUUGAAAAUUUAAAUGUGAAUAGAAACAAUGAUAAACAGCUCAUUCCUAUAAAAAGACCAUGCAGAUGGAGACACCACUUGUGGUCACUUCCCACGACAUUACCCAUCUUUUCUUUUUUUUUAAAACUUUUCAUUAGUAAAUAAUAACUAAACUAGUCCUUGACCCGCGCGGCCGCGCAGGUAUUUAAUUUUACAUUUUGAUUUGUAUUUGUAUUUAAUAUUAUAUUUGUAAAUUGUAAUCAUAUUACAUCAAGUAAUUUUAUAUUAAAACAUUUUUGCGUAAAAUGUAAUUCAGAUAUUUGGUCUUUGACAUGUAUGUCCCGCAUGGGUAUUUACUUCGUUUUUAUGGGUCAAAUAUAAGAUUAGUUCUCUUUUAAAAUAUUUUUCAUAUGGUGUUGGUUAACACAUAUUGAUUGUCGAUAGACAUUCAAGCAAGUAAAAUAAUAUCGUAUGUAACUCAUUUUUAUUUGAUGGUAUUUUAGUUGUUUCGAAUAAUUAGUUUAAUUUUAUAUAUGUCUACCUUUUAUUUUACAAUAAUUAUUUUAAAUAAAAAUUUAACUUCUGAUAUUAUCCCCAAUAUAUUAAUUCUGGAGCAUUAAACAUUUUUUGUAGUCACGUGACACCAUGAGAAUAAUUUUUUGAAUUCUUAGAGAAAUAAACUUGGUUAAAGACAGAGGCAGCACAAGAGCAAGCAAGAGAAAGUAGAUGAGGUGAUUACGUUGAAGGAGCCUGGAGCAAAGAGUAAGCAAGAAAGACAGCAAUCAUAGCCCACACUCCCCUAGAAACAUAGUAUAGAGUAAGUAAUAAUAGAUUCAAAUGAAAAUAAAUAAAAAAGCAUAGAAAAAGAGAACCUUUUAACAGAUGUGACAAUAUCUUCAGAAGUAGUGCUUUCAGGAUCAAGAGCUCCACUUGCCCAACUAACUCAAUUCAAAAAACAAAAAAAAAUAACAAACAUGAGGAUUGUGUGUGACACAGAGAGGAGAAGAAAAGCAAAGGAGGGAGAGAGGGAGUCACAUGAGAAGGCAAGCGCCAAUAAGGAGAAGGGAGAUAGUGCGAGGCUUGUAAGCCCAUGCAGUCCAUGGAUCAAGCUCACUUUCAGCAACAUCACCACCACCACCAUUCAUUCUCUUUGUUUCUUCUUUCAUGUAGCCAUUGGGUUCCAUGGGUAAAAUCAAACCACCUUGUGAGAAAAGUACAUAGAGAAGAGAUGAGAAGAGAAAAGGCAGAGAGGAGGGUAGUACAAGGUACAACAAGCAGAGAGAUAUAAAAAAGGCUCUGACUUUGCAGUGGUAAAGGGCAGGCACUCAUCAAUCAUAUGAUUCAAGUAACACAAAAACAAAUAAAAAGAGAUUGGGAGGAUACCUGAAGAAGAUAUGCUUUCUUCUCUGUUCUGUUUUGAGCUUCACGAUCUGAAAAAGACUCUGCCUUUCUCUAUCUCCGACGAUUUCCCCUUUUUUUAAUUUGCCCUGAAUCACCACCUUCUCCGUCCUUCCUUCCUUCUUCUUCAAUUUUAAUAUUCUCUGUUGUUUUGUCUUUACGAUAUUCAAUAUUAUCACCAGGAGGUAAUAAUAAUAACACUCUUCAAACGGUUUUAACAUCAUGUCGCAUUUCUUCGGUCUUAUUCGCAUUUAAUUCUUUUUUUCUUACCAAUAUAACUAAUACUCUCCAUCCGUUUUACAUUUUAUUUCACCAAAUUAAUAUUUUAGAUUUUUAUUAUAAAUUUAUAAAUAAUAUUUUAGUUUUAGUUUCAUUACUUUAAUAUAUUAAAUGGAAAAAAAUUAUGAAUUUAUUGAUAAUGGACCAAAAAAUAGUUUUUGUGUACUGAAAUGUGUCAAAGAGACAGAGAGAGACUUCAUUCAGUACGCCAAACCCACAUCAUAAAUAUUAAUUUUUAGUAUAUAAAUAACGAAAUGCAGCAGGAUCAAUUAAAUAACAUUAUGAUCUAGAAAGAAAAACGCCAAAAAUUCUCGUUGUCAUCCACAUAAAACAUACGCCACAAUUUAUGGUUUUGGAAUGAUAAAAAUGCAAUAACUCUCAAGUGAUUGUUUCACUGCAACCAAAAUACACUUAAACACACACACAUCAUUUGCGAAAUAUAUUAAUAUUCUUAUUUAGGUAAUUGAUUUGACAGCUAUCCCCAAAAGUACAAAGGAGAAUAACAACCCUCAUUAGUAUAUAUAGUCAUUUCUUUUUAUUCAAUGACAAAGAAUGAAAUUAAAAGGUCGGAAAGGGUAGUCAUAGUGUGAAAUGAAGUUUAAGAGAGAAUUAAACAAGUCCAGUUGAUAAAGACAUGUCUAUGCGCUUAAAUUCAUCACCACUACUCUUGCCAUACAUCCUUUCAUGAACGUACAAAUGUAGACAAGGGAACUAAUUCAUCUGCCUCUUCAUUAAGAUGAUUACCUACGUACUGAGAACAAUAUUUUUCUUAAAGCACCAAGGAAAACCUUGAAAAUUUAAAUGUGAAUAGAAACAAUGAUAAACAGCUCAUUCCUAUAAAAAGACCAUGCAGAUGGAGACACCACUUGUGGUCACUUCCCACGACAUUACCCAUCUUUUCUUUUUUUAAAAAACUUUUCAUUAGUAAUAAUAACUAAACUAGUCCUUGACCCGCGCGGCCGCGCAGGUAUUUAAUUUUACAUUUUGAUUUGUAUUUGUAUUUAAUAUUAUAUUUGUAAAUUGUAAUCAUAUUACAUCAAGUAAUUUUAUAUUAAAACAUUUUUGCGUAAAAUGUAAUUCAGAUAUUUGGUCUUUGACAUGUAUGUCCCGCAUGGGUAUUUACUUCGUUUUUAUGGGUCAAAUAUAAGAUUAGUUCUCUUUUAAAAUAUUUUUCAUAUGGUGUUGGUUAACACAUAUUGAUUGUCGAUAGACAUUCAAGCAAGUAAAAUAAUAUCGUAUGUAACUCAUUUUUAUUUGAUGGUAUUUUAGUUGUUUCGAAUAAUUAGUUUAAUUUUAUAUAUGUCUACCUUUUAUUUUACAAUAAUUAUUUUAAAUAAAAAUUUAACUUCUGAUAUUAUCUCCUAUAUAUUAAACCUGGAGUAUUACAUCAUUUUUUGUAGUCACGUGUCACCAUGAGAAUGAUUUUUAGAAUUCUUAAAGAAAUAUGUUGGUUCAUCUCAUCAUAUAUUAUUGUUUUUUAUUAAAAUAACUAUCGAAUUAAUUAAUAGUGUACAACUAAAAUAUUCUAUAUUAUUUCUUUAAAUAGGAGAUACGAAAUUACCUAAUAUGAUUGAUAUAUAUCGUAAUUAAUGAUUAUGAAUAAUAAAUAUUUUAUAACAAUUUUUUAUCCUACAUACUUUUAGUUCAAUUUUAUAUUAUUAAGAGAAACUAAAAAAUCACAUUAAUCAAAGAAUAUAAAAAAAUAGAUUUUUUCUUAUAUGUUAUCUUUUUAAUUUUUUAAAACGACUAUAAAUUACUAAAAUCUAAAUUUAAUCGUUUUGGUUAAUGUGAUAGUUUAUUGUUAUUAUACGAGAGAUUUUGGUAUAGUUACCAGCUUUCUUAUACGGGAGAUUUUGUUAUAGUUGAAAUCGUUUGUUAAUCAUGGAUUCUAUUGUUAUUAAAAGAUUUUAUUGUUACUAUUCGAAUGGAUUUAAAUUUGGGGUAAUUUUGUUAAAUAUAAUCAAAUAUAUGUUUAAUAAUUAAUUCAGUGGCAUUCAAGUGUAAUUAAAUUGUAAGUUUAAGGGGUAAUUUUUAUUUGUACUUCUGUUUUAAUAGAUUAGAUAAUACUCCCUCCGUUUUUUUAUAUAAGUCGUUUUACAGCUAUGUACGUAGAUUAAGAAAACCAUUAAUUUCUUAUAUUUUCUAAACAAAAACAUCAUUAAUUAUUUACCUAACCACAAUUCAACCAAUAGAAAAAUAUAAGAUAUAUUACUAUUGGUCAUACAACAUUAAUUAUUAAUAAAUUUUACAUAGAAAACCGAAAACGACAUAUAAUUUGGAACAAAAAAAUUUCUCUAAAACGACUUAUAUUAAAAAACGGAGGGAGUAGUAACAAAAAGACUGUCAUAAUCUUGGAACUCAGAUGAGGGUAAAUUAAUAGAAAAAAAACUUGAGAUAAUAAUGAUUAGGGUCAAAGUAAAUUAUGAGAUAGAGGGAUUAUGAAUAUCGAUUUGAUGAUAUUCGAAAUCAUUGAGGUAGUAAUGAUUACCAGAAUAAAAAGCAUUAAUUACACCUCUAAAACUAUAGUACAUAUUAUCAUCACUACAUUAUACUAUCAAAUAUCGAUUGACACCAAUAAUAGUGUGGUAAUGCUUCCAAAAUACACACAAUGUAAGAAGUGAAAUUAUGGUGCAACUGUUAACUGGUAAGCUAUCAAUUAUUUGUUUUCACCACAAGAGUUAUACUAGUAAACUCAAGAAGAACUAGCUAAACUCAUGUAAAUGGGGGUAAAAUGAGGGAGAGGGAGAGAGAAGUGUGGUCUACAUCUAGAAAUGAUGUGAAGAAGGACAACCUCAAAAUAGUCAGUCUCAAGUAUAAGUGUUAGCAUAUGAAGACAAGCGGAGCAAGUGUGGUCCAUUCUUGUUUCUCAUCUGUCCGGAUGACUUUAAUUAUGGUUUCUAUUCUGUGCAUAUGACUGAUCCACCACAUGCUCCUCCUAAUGGCUUUUAAUACAACCAACCCCUAGAGUUUAGAUAUUUUCUGUUUGGUAUUCUUUAAUAUACUUAAAAUAUAAUAUGUUUCAGAGUUUUCUGAUCAAUCAAAGCUCAGAAAAAUACGAAAUCAAAUGUUUUUACUCUCUUGAAGAAUGGGUGUCAAACUUGAAAUUUUUCAUUUUCACUUGCAAAUCCAGUGAAUACAAUAUAUUGUGACGAGAAGUACCAGAAACAAAUUCACAAUAUAGUAUAAGUGAUCGCCACCAGUGACAUAUGUUCUAACUUGAUGCUUUCAGGUCAUCAGAAGAAGUCCAUCGAUGCUUCAAAAUGCUUUAUUAACCACCAAUUGCCUCUUGUUAGAUCUAACUAUCAUGCAUGUGAUCCCUUUUCUUUCCUUUUAUCUAUUUGGUAAUGUGGCAUUUUCUGAAACCUAAUUCUCCUUUUAUAAUUCCUUAACGAACUAACAAUUUAUUUGGAAAAUAUUCUUUUUAAAGAUUUACCCAAAAUUCACUAAAAAUCAAAAUAGGUUUACAAGACAAUAGUGUAGAAUUAGUAAACGUAUAUCAAUAAAGUUAAAAUACCUACAAGUUACGACCAUAUGUAAGAGUAGCUUCAUCUUGUGCAUAUCGGUGGACGUCCACGUAUAUCGCGAACAUCCAUGCCAAACGGUAGGCGUACAUACCAUCUCAAGUUUAAGAAAUGUUUUUAAAAUCAAUCAAAUCAUGUAACACCACAUAUAUCUUUUGUCACUGUAGGAAUUUUUAGAAGCACCAACCAAUCAUGAACGGUAAAAGUGUAACUAAUUCAUAGAAACUGAGAAAAGAACCCUCUCACUUGUUCUUCUUCCCAAGAAUGUGAUGAUAACUAUAAUGAAAUGGGCCAUGAAGUAAUAGAAAAACAUAUAUAAUUUGGUCACGCCUAUAUCGUAAGUGUAUUAGGCCCAAUUAUGAUUCAAUAGAGAUCGGUCUGAUUGCUUCAAUUAUGACUGCGACUUGCCUUAUUCCUACCCCAUUAUUUGUUAAAAACUUGUAUGGUUUCCCUUCGGCCACAUCAUGCUUGAAAUGAAUGGCCUCUACAUCACCUGCGUCUUGUCCAAAUAUGAAAAACGAGAGAUGCGCUUUCGUAGAUUAUUACUCUAUUAUUAUUAUUAGAAUGUUUUUUGUCACCCGCACAAUGCUCAUCUAAUUGGAGAUGGUAAUCACCGAUUAAUUAAACCCUUGAUAAUGAUGAUAUAAAAGACAAUACAUCAUUUUCGUCACUUGCUUUUAAGCCUUCCCUUUUUGGAGUUUUUCUAACCCCAUAGCAUUUCGUUAUCAUCUACUAUACCAAUGGGUACGGUUUUGUUCAUUGCUUAAUUAUUGUGCUAAUUAAGUUUCUUAAUCCCAACUUGUGCACUUUUUAAUGAGUCGGUGGAUUGCCAAGAUCUUUUGGACGGCGAAAACCUAUACUUCUUUACUCCCACUUUCUUUACUUUAUUUCUAAACCUAAACUUAUAAUUCUAUUUUUUUCUUUCUAAUACAUCAGUAAUGGUACCUUAUCAUUCACCCUUUUGUUUAAGUUUCCUUCGUUAUGAUCAUGUUUUUGCUUUGAGUUUCAUUAAUUAUAAAAUGAAAAAAAUGGUCGCGAUUCAAGCUAUACGCGCACUUUACACUAAUUUUAUAAACCUUUGAUAAACUCAACAUUUUUAGCUGUGAUCACACACUUUAGUUUGACUAUCUAUUACUUAAAUCAAAAUAUAAUAAAUAAAAAGCUGGAAAUAUUUAGUAUAAAAUCAUCAAAUUCACUACUUUCAAGUAUAUAAUAAAAAGUUGUAUCUUAGCUUUAGAAGUGCAUUGUGACCAGUUUACAAGUACAGUCGUAAAUUUUAUUUUUUCGAAGGUUGAUGUUGUUUGGUCCGCUAUAUCAUUUUUAUGGUUACUGGAACAUAUUUUUAAAAGAGAAAACGUAGAAUCGAUAUAUGAUUAUCGAGGUUCCAAAACGUAUAAAAUACUGAAGGUGGGGAGACAACAAGUUUGCGAGGAUCGUGCGAAAUCUUCAUCAGUUCAACAAAUAAGAGCAUCAUCUUAGAAAAUAAUAAGUUGGUCCAAGAGUUACUUUCAGUCACCGCCUACUAAUAAAAGCAUGAUCAAUGGAAGAUUUUUAAAGUAAAAUUUUUAGUGGAAUAUAAGAAACCGUUUCAUAAUUUUUUUUUUUUAAAAAACUAAAAAUCAGUUUUUAAAUAAGAGAUUUAAAAACCGGUUCUUAACUUUUUUUAGUUAAAAACUAAGAGACGGUUUCUUAUAUUCCAUUGAAAAUCUUAUUAAUAAUGUUCUAAGUACUAUUUUAUUUCACUUUAUAGUUUAAUAUUUUUCUAAUUGCGAAACUACCGAAAUUUAUGGUAAACAAACUAACAAGUACUUAAUCUUUUCAUUAAUAUAUAGUUCAAUUAUAUAUCUGAAAUAUUCUUAAGAUUGAUGCAGCAGUACUUAAUCUUUUCAUUUUCUAUGACGUUGGUUUGUAUAAAAUCUCAUUCAAAUGCCAAAUCACAUGUAUAAAAUAUUUGGUAUUUCUUACUAUGUUUAUUUUACGUAGAUAAUCAGAAGUGGUAAGAAAAAUGAUUAAAAAUAGUCACAAUAACAUCAAAAUCGUUGUAUCGAUUACAUUUUUUUAGAAUGAGUUUACAUGAAUCAAAUCGUUUGCUACGUAGUUUAGUUUAAUUUGUGUAUUUUACUGUGUAUUAAAAUUAAUAAUCAAUAUUUCGUAGAAAAUUAUUGUAAAGCAUUUAUUUGUUGUAUCUGGUAGCAAUGUAAUCUAUUAAACUUAUUUUCACCAUUUUAAAUAUUUGGCAUUCUUAAAAUUGUUCUAAAUUAGAUGAAGUUUAAUGUAAAAUUUAUUAAAUUUUUACGUUGUUUGAUUUGAGGUUAUGUGAAUAUAUAAUGAUGUUUUGUAUAGAAAAUAUAAAAAAAUAAAUGUUCUCUUAUUUUAUUGCAUAAUUCUAAAACGUCACAUAAUUUAAAAAAAUACCGAGGGAGUACUACUUUUUAAUAAUUGCGAUUAGUGAUGAACAAAACAAAUGGAAAAUAAUUAAAGAAGGAGUUUGAUAAGUUAAUUUAACCGUUAAUCAAAGACCGCCGCUAUAUAAAGAGAGAGAAAACAGAGGGAGAGAGAAGAAGAAGAAGAAGAAGAAGAAGAUGGGGCUACAAGGUCAGCUCAGUGACGUCUCUUCCGACUCGAUCCCUCUGAUGCUCCUCUCUCUCCUCUUUUUCAUAUUUGUCACGAAAAUUUAUAUGUUAAACUUACUUUUACAAAAUUCUUAACUUUGUCACGAAAACAAAAAUCUAUGCUUUUUCAUAUUUGUCAACGUUCUCACACUUUCUAAGAAUAUAUUAGCUUAGUCACUUACUUAUUUUUUUUUUACAAAACAAACUAUCGGAGUCUUGAAAGUUGAAUUCAUAUUAUUGUAAAUGUACAUAAGAGUUUGUGAUUAUAUACUUAGUGGUUCUUGUAUAUGUAUCCAAGAAAGUUUCAAUGGCUUAGUGGUAACUGUCCUAUAUAUAUAUCAUACUAACCCGGGUUCGAUUCUCACCUUUGCAUUGUUUUUUUAUUUUUUACGAAAAAUAAAUGAGAUGACAUGGCAAUUUCGGGUUCUCUGAUUGAUUGAUUUUUCUAUCCUAUGUGGACACCUUCUCCAUGGCUUAUAUCCCCCUUUUAGUAUAGUAUAGAUGUUCUAAGUACUAUUUUAUUUCACUUUAUAGUUUAAUAUUUUUGUAAUUGCGAAACUACCGAAAUUUAUGGUAAACAAACUAACAAGUACUUAAUCUUUUCAUUAAUAGUUCAAUUAUAUAUCUGAAAUAUUCUUAAGAUUGAUGCAGCAGUACUUAAUCUUUUCAUUUUCUAUGACGUUGGUUUGUAUAAAAUCUCAUUCAAAUGCCAAAUCACAUGUAUAAAAUAUUUGGUAUUUCUUACUAUGUUUAUUUUACGUAGAUAAUCAGAAGUGGUAAGAAAAAUGAUUAAAAAUAGUCACAAUAACAUCAAAAUCGUUGUAUCGAUUACAUUUUUUUAGAAUGAGUUUACAUGAAUCAAAUCGUUUGCUACGUAGUUUAGUUUAAUUUGUGUAUUUUACUGUGUAUUAAAAUUAAUAAUCAAUAUUUCGUAGAAAAUUAUUGUAAAGCAUUUAUUUGUUGUAUCUGGUAGCAAUGUAAUCUAUUAAACUUAUUUUCACCAUUUUAAAUAUUUGGCAUUCUUAAAAUUGUUCUAAAUUAGAUGAAGUUUAAUGUAAAAUUUAUUAAAUUUUUACGUUGUUUGAUUUGAGGUUAUGUGAAUAUAUAAUGAUGUUUUGUAUAGAAAAUAUAAAAAAAUAAAUGUUCUCUUAUUUUAUUGCAUAAUUCUAAAACGUCACAUAAUUUAAAAAAAUACCGAGGGAGUACUACUUUUUAAUAAUUGCGAUUAGUGAUGAACAAAACAAAUGGAAAAUAAUUAAAGAAGGAGUUUGAUAAGUUAAUUUAACCGUUAAUCAAAGACCGCCGCUAUAUAAAGAGAGACAACAGAGAUAGAGAGAGAGAGCAAGAAGAAGAAGAAGAAGAAGAUGGGGCUACAAGGUCAGCUCAGUGACGUCUCUUCCGACUCGAUCCCUCUGAUGCUCCUCUCUCUCCUCGCCGUCUUCCUCGGCCGUCUCCGCUCCUUCCUCCACCGUCCCUGCGAUCCCGAUUCCAAUCUCUCCGUCGACGACUCCUAUCUUUUAAAAGGGUUGACGAUCUAUUUCUCCCUGAGAAGUAUCAUAUAUCACUAGAUACACACAGACUUUUGACCCCGUUCUAUUUCCCCCCUAAAUUAAAGUUCGAAUCCUAUAUCCCCCCAAUUCGAAAGAUCAAGUUCUUUUCCCCCAUACCGUCGAAUUUAAACAUUGCAAUACACAUAGGUUUGAAUUAGCGCCGGUUUACUGUUGAUCAUUUAACCGUAAUCUAUUGUUGCCCAACAAAAACCGCGAUUUAACCGAAAAGAUCCGUUUAAGAUCCGAUUAAAACCCGAUUAUAACCCAAUUGUUAUUGGUUUAACCCGAAUACAUAAACCCCCAAAUCCCCAGUGUUCUUCAUCGACAAACAAACCCUAGAAAGAUUUACCGGCCUAUUUCAGUUGAUUACAAGUAGAAACAAUGGAGACAGUUGGUGAAAGCACGAUUCCUUCACUUAGGGAUGAAUCAGACGACGAAGAAGAGAUGGAGAGACAUGCUUUCCGGGUUGAAGAAGAUGUAGCUGCAUUCAUCAACGAACCUCCCAUCCGGCAUAACAUCUAUCCCGAUACCGAGACUGAUAGUGAUACAGAUGAGGAGAAAGAUGGUGAAGAGCAACAAAUGAAACGACAGAGGACAAGAGAGCGUUAUCGAAUCAGAAGAGGUGACGGGAAUCUCUUCGAGGGCCAAGUAUUCUUCAAUGGAGUUGCAUUCAAAGAGGCGGUAUUGGACUACGCUCUGAAGACUGGUCACAAUAUCAAGCAGUAUAGGUACGACAAAACCAAACUUGGUUUUAGUUGUGUUGGUCGGAAUGUAGAUUCACACUGUCAGUGGCGUGUUUAUUGCUCGAGUAAAGGAGAACCAGAGAGAUGGUAUGUUAAAGUGUACAAGAAUGAACACAGUUGUGUUCCAAAUGGAGAAUGUGAGAUGCUUAAGGUCCCGGUGAUAGCUAGGUUAUUUGUUGAUAAGAUAAGAGAAGAACCAAAAUAUUUCAUGCCAAUGAAGAUAGAAGAACUGAUCAAGGAGAGGUGGAAGAUCACGGUUUCUAGAGCACAAUGUCAAGCUGCCCGAAAUAAAGCAAUGGGGUGGAUUGAGAAGGAGUAUGAUACUCAGUUUGCUCGAAUCCGAGACUAUGCUGCCGAGAUUCUCGAGUCAAAUAUCAACUCUUCGGUGGAAGUCGAGACCAAGAGAAAUGAGGAAGGAAAAGAUGUGUUCGACCGUUUCUAUGUGUGUUUCGAUGUGCUUAGGAGAUCAUGGAAAGCUAUGUGUAGACCUCUUAUUGGGAUGGAUGGCACAUUCUUAAGAGGGAAAACUAAAGGACAAUUGUUAGUGGCUCUUGGUCGAGAUGGGGAUAAUUCAAUCUACCCCAUUGCUUGGGCAGUUGUUCAAGUAGAAAAUACUCCAAAUUGGAUAUGGUUUGUGAAGCAUAUCAAGACAGACUUGGGUUUAGGAGAUGGUGAUGGAUAUAUUAUGGUCUCCGAUCGUCAGAAGGUAAGCUUUGAUUGUCAUGUUAUAUUUUUAAAAAAUAUUAAUUUUUUUUAUGUUUGUGUGUGGUCGGUUUCAGGGACUGAUCAAGGCAGUUCAGUUGGAGCUUCCGAAGAUGGAGCAUAGAAUGUGUGUUAGACACAUUUAUGGAAACGUGAAAGCUAAACAUGGAAAGAAGAGUGACAUGAAGCCAUAUAUUUGGCAACUUGCUUGGAGCUACAAUGAGGCGGAGUACAAGGAGAAUCUAGAUAGGCUUUUCAACUACGACUCAGAGGUGUAUGCAGAUGUGAUGAAGACUAAUCCAAUGACUUGGGUUAGAGCUUUCUUCAAGUUGGGGAACUAUUGUGAGGACGUUGAGAACAACUCAACCGAAUCUUUCAACGCCUCCAUCGUUUGUGCCCGUGAAAAGCCAAUGGUACCAAUGUUGGAUACCAUUGCACGUCUUGCAAUGGUGCGUAUCGCUUCUAGAUAUCUGAUUGCUCAAGACCACAAGAGCAUAUGCACACCUUAUGUGGUUGAUAUACUUGCUUUGGAGCACAAAAAAGCAUCAGAGUGUACUAUUUAUAGAAGCACAAAUGGUAUGUGGUUGGUGAAUGUUGACUCAUGUUCUUACCGUGUCAAUUUGGAGAAUCGAACAUGCACGUGUAUGAGGUGGGAUAUCACUGGGAUCCCUUGUGAACAUGGAUACGGUGUCAUCUUGGAUAGAAAACUAGAGGCUGAGGAUUUUGUGUGUCACUGGUUUCGGACGACAGUGUGGAGGAGGACAUACGAAGAGGGCAUAACACCAUUGAGAGGAGCACGAUUUUGGCCGACUUCUUCAGCCCCUGAAGUGCAUCCAGCUCCUGAGCCACACCAGCCUGGUCGCAAAAAGAAGAAAGACAACAAAAGGAAAAAGGGCAAAAAUGAGUCUCCUGUGAAGAAGAAACCGAAGGCGUUGAAGCGCAUUAUGCAUUGUGGACUUUGUGGUGCGCCUAACCACAAUAUUCGUUUUCAUAAGGAGGGACCCCAUAAGAAGGUAUGAUUCAUUUUUCAUAUCCUCUAUAUGGUUCUCCUUUCAUUACUUACAUAAGACUCUUUUUUUUUAAUCUUUAUAGGCUCCACAAGCUGAACCAUCUCAAACCUUUGCUAGUCAAGGUGAAUCCUCUCAAGCUUGAUGUUCUUUAGCGGUAACUACAGUAGGAAAGGAAGAGCAAGAAGUAUUUUUUGGGUUGUGUCUUCUUUCUUUUUUCGGCUAUUUUGUUGUUGUCAUCUUCAUGGUUGAUGAACAAGAAUCCUUCUACUUAUUUUGGUGUUUUCUUCCUUUUGUAUGGACAUGACUCGAUCAUGUAGGUUAUAACCAAGAAAAUACCAACAUUUUCAUUCAUUAAACAACAUAAAAAACGUCAAGUACAAGUACUACUUCAUAGCAUUAAACAACAUUUAUCGAAAUGAAAUCCAUCACACAAGCUUAAUGAUGACAAACCCAACAACACAAGCUAUUACAAUUCCAGCACACAUCUUCUUCAUGCUCCAUUUCGCUUCCUUUAACACUUCUUCCAUCUCCAUAACUUUGCUUCGACCGUCGUCUUCCACCAUAGUUGACCUCUAAAAGAAAAGACUUGGUUAUAUAAAAGCAACAACUUAAAGAAGAAGAAGAUUGAUAUAAUAGGAAAUGUGCAAAAGGAUGGAAUGAUGAGGGGGUCUUAUAUAAAGGGUCAAGGAGGUUAUGUCCCUCCUUUUUUUUCCAUAUAUAAAAAUGUAUCAUGAUUGUUUAUUAGCAAUUAUAUACACGUGAUUGCACAAUUUGAAGUAUGAUUUGUAGAUUAGAGUGAAGUUGAGGGGUAACAGUAAAUUUUAAAAACUUUGGGAGAUGUGAACAACUCUAAAUAACGUUGAUCUUCGAGCCUAUUGGGUAUGUUUUCCCUAAAACCCUUUUUACAAUUUUAAGAAGAAGCAUGGUUGUUCGAAAUUAGUAUAGAUAACAAGAGUAGGUUAAUUAGUGAAAUACUUAUCAGGAAGCGAUGCAUAGCAUAGAAAGGCACGUAGAUGGAGAGAGAGUGGAAUAGUCUUUGGCCUUGAGUGUUGUGCAGCUUCCUUCUUUUCCUCAGUCCUCACUCUGCACCAUAUGCUCUCUUAUCUUUUUGUUUAUACUACACUACAUACGUUUCUUCUUCAUUGUAUUUUCUUUUUGCUAUAUAGAAACUACUCAAACUAGUAUAUAUCCUUGUUUAAGAACUCGCUAGGCGCUAGUCGGGUGCUCGGUGUGGGCCUAGCGCCUAAUCAAUAAAUCGGGGAUUAUACGGGGAUUAAUUGGGGAUUAGUUUUUGUAAUUAUUUAUUAUAAAUAUAUGCAUAUAUAUUAGGAAAUGUGUAGAUUCACCAAGAUGUAUUUCGGUCUAGUGGUUUAUAUCAUUGAGUACGAUGUGGCAGGUCCUGGUUUCGAUUCUCAAGCCCAUCCUCUUUUAAUAUUAAGAAAAAAAAUUUUAAAACAUUCUAGCCAAAGUCCCACAUCGACUAAAUACAAAGAGAAAGUGACUUGAAGACCUGUAUAUAUAGCUACAUGUGGUUAGAGACAAAUCUUGCAACUGGGCUUCAAUAAAAAGGCCCAAGUUCUGCCUAAUCAGUAAAAUAAAUCGGAUUUAAUCGGUUAAAAAUCGGUUAUAAAACCGAUUAAUCGGGUUAUUGGCUGAUUAGUUGGUUAACCGAUUAAUUAAGCCGAUUAGGUCUUAAUCGCGGCGGUUGCAUACCGUUGAGCGCCUAGCCGGGCGAUUAAUCGGCUAGGCGGCCGCGUUUUAGAACAGGUAUAUAUGCAUGUAAAAACAAAAAUGCGGAGAACAAUGAAUAUGAAUUUGGAUGUUAGGUUAUAAGCAGACAAAUAAAUGGGCCUUCUCAUUUGGCAAUCGUGUCGCCGUACGUUCUCUUUAAUAUUGUACACACAUGUGUGUGUUUUUGUGUGCUAUUUGAGAACUGAGAUACUCAUUCAUCGUCCAAUGCACAUUAUCACCGUCCAAAUCCCAACCCAUCUUAGUUCCACCGAUUGCAGAGCUGACCAUUAAGUAGAUUCACCAGUUCAUCUCAAAGUAUAUAUUAAAUUAAAACUCAUGGUCUUGUAGCCUCUCUGAGUAUAAUCAAAUUAACAUUUUUGAAAAGCAAUAAAAAGAUACAAGAAACAAAAACAGAAGACAAGACGUGCACAUGGUUUUAGUCCAGAGGUGGGACUCAAAUUUCAUCGUGUCGCAAACUUUUCUUUCAGUUUUUGUCAAACAUCUGGACUCUUUAGUGACUUAAUAGACAAAAAGUUAACACCUUUAUAUCUGUUUACGUUGACACUCCACUCUUACGUAAUAUUCCCAUUUUACACCGUAAGUGGGAUCACUCUCACGUCCUCCUUCAAUCUUGACCGUUCACAGAUCGCACUACUCAGAUUAGACUGUAUUACAUAACUAGGAUAAGACUUGCGCCUUGCGCAGGAUGAGUUUAUAUAAAAAAUAUUUUUAAAAUAUUGUAUGGAAACUAAAAUUUAUAUAUUUAAUCGAAAUAAUAUUUUUGACCAUAUACAAUAUUUUUUUACCUUUUUGUUGAUUAUAUAAUUUGUUUUCUAAUGGACUACCUCAUUUUUGUAAAGCGUUUUGGAUCUUUGAUGAAAUUUUGGUUCAGUUUCAUUUUAGUUAUUUGGGUUUUUGGUUUAGUUUAGCAUCUAUUCAGGCAUUUAGAAAGUUUAGUUUGGUUAUUUGGUGUUUUGGUUCGGUUUGAGUAACAAAUUUGAGACCAGCUUAUAUUUGAAGUAAUUUUGGAAUCCUUUUCGGUUCGGUCCGAGUAACAAAGUUGGGAUUUUUUUUGUUUUCGAAUUAAUUUAGAUAAUUUAAAUAUUUUAGAUAAAAAGUACUCUAGUAAUUCAUUUUUUGGGUAUUUCGACUUAUAAAUAACAUUUUAAAAUUAUUUGAUUAUCUUAAAACUACAUAGAGUUAAUAUUUAUAAAAAUAUAAACUAUAUUAUAGAAAUUCGGAUACCCAUUUUUUUUGUUCGGUUCCGAUUCGAUUUUUCGUUUCUAAAGAUAUAUAAUCACUCUUUUUAUAAUUGAUAGAAUCCAACGCAAACCAAACCUCGUUUUCUUAUUCAGUUUUUGGUUCUAGAUAAAUGUGCUCAUGCUUAAGAAUGCUAAUCACGUUAGGUAUUUAUAUAGACAGAUGAACUUGUACAUAGGGAGCCAUGUACGCUGUCGUUGGUUAGUUUCCAUUAGUUAGAAUACAAAUUAAUACAGUAUGACAGAGAGAGAUGGCUUUCUCACACACCCUUUUUAUAUAGGAUUCAGACAGUAUAUAAUGUCAUUUUUUUUCUUAAGAUUCAUCUAUUUAUUAAAGAAAGUAUAUUUACCGUAGAACAUGCACAUAUGCAAUAUUUAGUGAAUAAGAUAUACGACCAAGACAAAAUUACAUUUAUGUCAACACUACAUGGGAUAAAUGUGCAUUCUGAAUUUAAAAAAAAGUUCCAUUAUAUAAAUUUACUUUCUCACGUUUAGAAACUCCCACAUAGCAAGAAUUAACAUUAAAUGUUGUAACUUUAUAUGAAAAAUCACAUAUUUUAGAUCCUUUUUAACAUCACACACUUUUAGAUUUAGAAUUUUAAUUAUGUCUACUAACCGGUGCAGAUAUUUUAAUUAUGUCCAUUAACCGGUGCAGAUAGGAUCAGAUUCGUCGAUAGUUUCUUCACCGAUGUGAUCAUAUUCAAAGCUCACCUAGUUAUUCUGUGUAAGUAAUGGACUUCACUGGUUAAUCUGAGGACAUAAUUAGUUGCCUCUUCAAAAAUAGCUUGGAGACUGAAUGGUUCUUUUUUUCAAAAGCAAUAGAUCCAAAACAUCGCUGAUGAGUGUAGUCACAAGACAAAGAUACACCUCCUGAGUUACUGCUGCUUCUAAGUGCUGAAGUAUUAUGAGCUUGAUAGAAUUAGUUUUCAAAGUUCAUAGUUACUGCUGCUACCAAGUCCAUAUUUUUGUAUAGAGAAUGUGACUCUUUUACCUACAAACACAAAAAAAAAUGCAUCUCUGUCUAAUGGAUUCAAAGCUUAUGCCUUUGAAAAAACACAUACCAACGUUCAUACACAUAGAUGAGGACAGUUCAGCACAAUCCCGUCUUUUUUACACAAAUAUGGUGCAUUCUACAAACAAUCAAAAUACAGAUAAAUAUUUAUAAGCAAGUUAAUACUUUCCCAAAUCGUUUCAACAGUUUGAACAUAUAUCGAAAAACAUGGAAGAUCUUGAUUCUUAGCUCGAAAAAAAUAUAUUUACCAAGUAAUUAGCAAUCCCACAAACAAAGAUCAAGCUUGCAACGUCGAGCAUCAAUUAUAUAAACGCUCCUUCCCUGUCCCCAACUCCUUCUCCAACCAUCUCUCCCUUUACACGCACAUCUCCCACUCCUCGCACCUCCAUUAGACCCACAGGCCACAACAUGUCAAAGCCCUCGAAUCUCUCAACAUCCCCACCGUCCCCUGCGACCACCGUCCCUCCUCCAAACCCCUACCACCGUCAUAACCUGUGACGCCAGCUCCCAGUUCCGCCUCGUAACCUCCAUCUCCUUCACAACAUUCAGAACUCUCUCCACAUCUCUCGUCUCCCUCUCUUUCCUCAACUGUCUUUCUCUCUGCUGACCACAUCGCCUCCUUAAUUUACUCCACUCAUUCUCUGCCGCCGCAACUCCCUCUUAAAACCUACUGCGUCUCUUUGUUAAUAUUUUUUUAAAACUUAGUUUAUAAGGUGUUAAUCGUAUAACAAAGUCUUCCUAGUUAAUAUGACGUUCCCUAGCAAAUUGAAAUUGGACUAACUAAUUUUUCAAUCGAUUCUAAUCAUGACACAUCAGCAAAAUUAGGUUCUAAUUAAACGCCACCUCAGCAAAUUUAAAAUGUAAUUAGUACAAAAUUAAGGUUACAUAUUUUUAAAUGAUCCUCAAUUAAUAUAUAGGAGAUCACAACGCCACCUUCUGCGUCAUUUAUGUGUCUUACCUUUUUUCUACAUUGAUUAUCAUUUUCUUUGUCCUCUAUUAACUUCUUACUUUAGAUGAUCCAAAUAAUGAUAAAUGUAAUAUUUGAGCAUAUACAACACAAACCACUUCUUUUCCUAUGAGUAACAGGCCCGGGUCUGUGACAGAAGUCAAAUGGCUUGCUUUAAGCCAUAAUCAUCCAUUCAUACAUUAAUAUAUUACACUUUUAGAUUUCAAAAUGAUAAUAAUAAUCAAGCAUAAAUGAUCUCUACUCUUAUAUGAUAGUGAUCUCCAUCGAAAACGAAAGUAUAUUUUUAAGAUGAAAAAGACAACAGUUUCUCAGUAUACGCUUUGGAUUGUUACCAAAUGUCCUUCAAUAAAUUAUACAAGAAUGGUAAAAUUACAACUCUCCAACAAACUCAUCGCUGAUCAGUUUCUAGUCCAUAUGCAGCUCAAUUUAAACAAAUAACUAAUACACAAUAAUCCAAAUCAGUAUACAUUAAUUAUACAAUUUCUGUAGAGGUAUAACAAAGUUGUAUAGAUUUUGUAAUUUUGCAUAAUUCAACAAAGGUAAAAGUAAAAGGGGGUGAAAAAGAAUGACUUUUUGAGAGGAAUCCAAGACGUAGACUGCAAUUCUCAUUGGACAAAGUCAUCAAAAGCCUAAACAAACAGGCUCAUAUUAUACUAUUUCUCGUUAAUAUAUAUGGCCAUAAACUAUAGAGAGGAAAAACAAUCAUUGGAUACUCAAAAGGUGUAACUGGUAAAUAUAUAUGGAAUUUGUGGAAUUUAAAAUAAAUGGAAUGGUAAGAAUGGAAUACAGCAAAAAAUGGAAUGGAAUUCAUUCCAUUCUUUCAUGAUCAAAUUUGUUAUGGAAUGAUUUUCUUUGUAUUUUCUCUAUUUAUUUUUGGAAUUGAUGGAAUGAGUAUUCAAUUUCAUUCAUGUCAAAUGGUAAAUUUUUUUAUGGAAUUAAUGGAAUAGGUCAUUCCACGUCAUUUCAUUCUAAAUAUUUACAAUCCAGUUGCAGCCAAGCCAAAGAGAGAAAAGGGUAUGAAUUAUGAAAUAAGAAAAUAAUGAUAUCCUAAAAUCAAGGAAAAGGCCAAACGGCCUGGGGUCAUUUUGUAAGGGGCGCAUGAGCCUCUCGAACCCCACAAAUAUCCUUUGGCAUGACCCUUGGACAAGAAGAAAAUAUAACAUGCAAUGUAGGCGCCAAAUGCCAUUGAACAAGAGAAAAGGAAAAAAAAAAAACUAUUUUAUCACUUUUAUAAAUCUUAUAUGGAUAAUGUGAUUGACGGAAUAGGUAACUUAGCUGUUUAUAAUAGUCCUGGACUCACAAUUCAGCUUGUAAUCUUUUAACUUCUCGCUUUGCUCAUAGGAUUUAAAACUGUAAGAGCAUGCGCAUUGGGAGUUUAAAGGGAGGGGGUCACACGUUUUCCAAAAAAAAAAAUAUUAAAAUAAGCAUAAAUGAAGACUUCGGUUCGUCCCGCUUCUUCCGCGUGAACCCGGGUCGUGACUGUUCAGCGGGCCCCACGCCACGUGGCGGCCCGCUAUUGAUCACUUUAUUUAAUUUUUUUUUUUUUUUAAAUCAAACGAAAAAAAAAAAUAAAUUAAUUUCCUGAACUUCAACAAGCGGUUCACCGCUGCGCAUGCUCUUACGAUAUAUAUACUGCGGGCCGGAAAUGAAUGUGUAAUGUGGCAAUUGAUUAGUAUUUUAAAGUUUGGAAUUUUGGGUAGGUGUUAAAACCCAUUAAGGCCCUGUUCGUUUGGUCACCCAGGUGUUCCAUCUGGGUGAAGAUGCAAAUCGAUGUUCGUUUAGUGCAUUAUAAUGCUACAUCCAGAUGGAUCAUCCAGCUGAAUUUUUAAAAACUCAUCUCAAAUUCUCACCCAAAUGAAGGUGAGUCUUGAUGGUGCAUCUGGAUGCAGAUGCAUCUAGUUCAGUCCAAAAUAGUCAUGCAUGUGGAACCUCGCCACGGUGACUCCAUGGGAUCUUAUCGUAUGAGCACCUAACUGAAUUUCGGGCAUGCUUAUCUAUAAACGCACAGGAGAAGCAUCGGUCCAUAAAGAUAGUUUCAGAACUAGGGUUUCGCAGAAAGUUACUAAAUUAGGAAAGUCUAUGGUAGAAAUGGAAACUUUGCUCGAACUUAAACGAGAUUACAAGUUUCAACAGCUCCUCUUAAGUAAAACAAGUAACCAACAAACAGGACACAAAACACCAGGGGGAUAGCUCAAUUCCACUAUAACUUGCGUCUCAAGAACAGAUUGGUGAUAAGAGAGAAGACGAUGAGUGUACCUUUUGGCGUUAGAGAUGAUGAUGAUAGGCGCAGGGGAAAACGUCUCUACUACUCGCUGUUGGUUGCGUGAAUAGGAAUGGAGGAAGCGGGAAAGGGAGAAUCUCUGAGUAGUUUCUCGGGGAAACUCAAAGGAAAGGGAAAGAUGAAGGGUUUGGUCCAUAAAGAAUAAAGCUAUCACUGCUUUAGCUUUAUUUAUGCCUUUGUUUUUUUUCCAGAAAUAAUAGAGAGACUACUUAUGUCUUGUUGUGAAUUUUUAAAAUUUGAACUGGAUCCACUCAUGCUGAGUUUUUUUUUAAUAAAUAAUGGAAAUAAACAAAAUAGAAAGUAAUAAGAAGAAAAUAAAGUUUUCUUUACUUGUAAGAUUUUUUUUUUUGUGUCUUUUUUUUUUAAGUUUCAAUCUCACAUAUAUUUCUUAAAUGAUUAAAUCUAAUAUUAUUAUUUUUGUAAGUGAUUAACAAACUGAGUAAACAAUUGUACAAAUAAAAAUAUGAUGGCAAUAUCAGAUUUUUCAUGUAUAUUUAUGAUUAAAAUUAAUGAGGAUUAAAUUUUAAUUAAUUUACUAGAUAAAUUAUAUAUUUUUCUUACAAAAAUAAUAUUUCUAUUCUAGAAUGAUUUAAUCAUAUAAAUAAAUUAGUAAAAUACAUGAUUAGUUUCAUUUAACUAAUCAUUUAUAUUUUUGGUUCUUCAAAUAAUACUCUUUUGUGUAACUUCAUCAAAAAUGAGUUAAAAUCAAAAUACACUGGUGAUAUUUUUAAACUCCAAUAUAUGAUCGUUUUGAAGGAAAAAAAUUAUGGAGAAUUCUUUGUUCUUCGUAUUUUAUUCCAGUUAUGUUGAAUUUUUUUGUUAAAUUAUUGACAGUUGGACUUCAUUUUUUUCUUCUAAAUUCCUCAUGGAUUAAUGAAUUUAUAAAAAAUAAUAAUCUUUUCAAUUUUAACAAGAAAUAAAAUAAAUUAUUCCUACUUUUUAUUAUUUUCAGUAAAAAAUUUAUUCGUUAUUUUGUUCAUCUUCUCCUUUCAUAGAGCCAAACUUUCUUUGUUCACCAAAGCCGCGUUCACCAAAGGCCCAUGGUAACACACAAUCAAAUUUUGAAAUUGGGUUUGCCAUUUAGCGGGCCCAAAGUAUUUUGUGGUAAAGAGAAGAAAGUUAACAUCUUCCAUCAAUCACCACCGGUCGUCACUCCACGUGUACCGGACAUGAGAAACAUCUGCCUUAAAAGUUCCGGUCUGCACCGAGAGCCAGCCACCAUUCUCCAAAUCUCCACUCGAUGGCGACGAUUCCUCCCCAACUCCCCUUGGCGACCCGCUCUGCUCUUCGCCGGGCGUCUUCCUCCGUCCAUUUCUUCACCGCCACUUCUUCGUUCCGUCACCGCGCAACGAAGCUGUUUCUCCCGAGAGCCUUCUCUUCCUCAGUCAAGCUCCCCACGAAACCGCCGCUCUGCACCGCCGACGAGCUUCACUACGUCUCUGUUCCCAACAGCGACUGGCGCCUCGCUCUCUGGCGCUACUUCCCUCCUCCUCAGGUAACCAUCUCUUCACCCUUCUCUCUGUAUCCUCUGUUUUUUUCUUCUUUCUGAUAAAGUCUUCUCCUUUACAGACGCCCACGAGGAAUCAUCCUCUCUUACUCUUGUCUGGAGUCGGAACUAAUGCCAUCGGAUACGAUCUAUCUCCCGGUGUAAAUGUUUUUGAUUCAACUCUGUUUUGAUUUGACUCUGUUUUUCAUAAAGUUUCUACCUUUACGUGAUUUGACUCUGUUUUUCAUAAAGUUUCUACCUUUACGUGAUCUUUCUAACACUGCUUGAUGUAAUUCACAGUGCUCUUUCGCAAGACACAUGUCUGCUCAGGGAUUCGAGACGUGGAUUCUCGAGGUUCGUGGAGCAGGGCUGAGUACGAGAGUAUCCGACCUCAAGGACGUUGAGGACUCCGCUCACGAGUUGUCUCAUCAGAUACAAUCCACUGCUAAAGCUGCAGCUAAAGAAGCUCAGGUCACUGAGAUUGCUGACACUGCACCACCAGCUUCGGAUGUUUCCGUUGUUGGUGAAGAAGCCUCCUCAGCCUCAGCUUGGGACGAGUCCAAGAUCGUGGCGAGGCUAACCGCAACGUUCAUGCGUUUAUCAGAAAGACUCUCCGGUUUUCUCAGCGAAGGUCAGUCAUUGUUCAUGUCCGCUAAGCUCUUUGACAAGAUCGCUAUGCUUUUGGAAGACUCGCGGAUGUACGAGCGGUUUAACGAGAUAAGAUCAAAGCUCUUGAGUUUGAUCGAGUCGAGGCAGAACUCAGGACUCGGUAACCAGAUCAGGGAGUUGACUCAGCGGCUUGUGGAUCUUCUUGACGAUGGUCAGAAGUCUGUCUCUCCUCAGUUGAUUGAUCUGCAAGAGAGGCUCACUUCGACUAUUGAGGAUUUUCAGAAGCAGCUGGAUUUGAUUGUUAAGUAUGAUUGGGAUUUUGAUAACUACCUUGAAGAAGAUGUCCCUGCAGCGGUGAGGAAGACUUUGAUCUUGUUAAAUAUAUUACAUAAUAUGUUACUGAACUGGUGUUUGUUUUUUUGUCUUUUGACGCAGAUUGAGUAUGUAAGAGCGCAAUGUAAGCCUAAAGACGGUAAGCUGUUUGCUAUUGGGCACUCCAUGGGUGGUAUCUUACUCUAUGCAAUGCUGUCACGUUGUGGUAAGUUUAUAUUCAUCUUUAUAACGGUCAUAGGUUUAGGCCGUUACUCAUUUUAUUUUAUUCCAUUUUCCUUAGCUUUUGAGGGACGAGAGCCUUGUCUGGCAGCUGUGGCAACUUUGGCUUCAUCGUUAGAUUACACAACUUCAGAUUCUGCUCUCAAAUUACUCAUACCUCUUGUACGUAAAUUUUGCUUUUAUCACUCUCCGUUGGAUUCUUCUGUGGUAAUACUUACUAGAAACUUUCUUGUGUAGGCUGAUCCAGCACAAGCUCUGAGUGUUCCAGUUGUGCCUUUAGGGGCUCUGUUGGCAGCAGCUUAUCCUCUUUCGUCACGGCCUCCAUACGUGUUAUCUUUGCUUAACGAUUUGAUAUCAGCGACGGAUAUGAUGCACCCUGAGCAGUUAGAGAAGCUUGUUUUGAAUAACUUCUGUAAGUACUGAUGUUUGAUCUCGUUGAAGUAUGUACAGAUACUCUUUAUCUCUAUGGUGAUAUUGAGGGUUUCUUUAUUUUGCAACCUUGUAGGUACCAUACCUGCAAAGCUUCUUAUUCAGCUGACAACAGCUUUUCGAGAAGGAGGUUUACGAGAUCGUAGUGGUGAAUUUUACUACAAGGAUCAUCUUUCUAGUACCACUGUCCCUGUCUUAGCUCUUGCGGGUGAUAGGGACUUGAUCUGUCCUCCUAUAGCUGUAGAAGGUAUAUUGGCUUUUGAUGUUUGCUUUUAACUUGUACAUAAAUGAACAGCUACACAAUACAUAGUUGAUUAAUAUUGCAGAAACAUGCAGUAUGUUUACUCACUAGUGUAAAUUUGUAAUUGCUUGUGAAUAUGGCAGACACAGUUAAGCUGUUUCCUGAGAACCUGGUCACGUAUAAGUUACUCGGAGAACCAGACGGACCGCAUUAUGCACACUAUGAUUUGGUUGGAGGACGACUGGUAUGUUGCAUGUUGGAACUUUGUUCAAUGCCUUACAUGAUAUGUGCGUGCUUGUUUUCUAUCUCAAGUCAGUUUCUCUGAUAAUCUCUCACUGCAGGCAGUGGAGCAAGUCUAUCCUUGCAUAACUGAGUUUCUUAGCCACCAUGAUUCUGCAUAAAGUGAAACUUCUCUUCCUGGCAUGAUAUAUGCAUGAAGACGCUGUAUCAGAAGUGCCUGUUAAUAAGGAUGUCAUUUUCGUUGAAUACAUGUACAUUUAGUGUUACGGCAAAACUGUACAUUAGCUUAGGAGGCUUUUUUCCAAGUCAUACACUUGUAAAUUAAAAAAACAUCUAAUAAGAUGCUUGAAGCUCCUGUCUACUUAAUGAUUUCCUUUUUGUUUUGUUAUGGCGACAAGCUGUUUAUUCGAAAAGUUAUGUUUAUUAGAAGAAUGGGUGUUCCCUUCCCUUGUACAUGAGAAGAACUGUAUGUAGACAUGGACUUACAUGUAUAUUAUGAAUCUAUCUUGGAUCUACAGACAACACAUCACUAUCCUACUUUGCAGUAAGGCGUGGGAUGCAUGAUGUAAUGAUAAAACUGAAUCAGUCUCUUCAAAGAUAUUGUCUUUCUUCCAUCAUGUAAGACCAUACUGAGUUCUCUUUUUCCAUCGGCACUUCAGUUCAUUGAAUUCUCUAUCUUGCAGUCAUUGUGCAAAAAUAAAAAUAAUGGUUCAUGUAGAUCAAAGUAUAAAGUGUUAUGGUUUAUAUUUUCUCUUGCGAUUCCUUGGAUCCUACAACUCUCAUAAGAAAGUAUCAAUGGUAAAGUCGGUCGUCAAUACUGUUAAUAGUUUUAACUGUCAUAUGUUUUGAGCAAACAUGCAAAACACAACAGGGAAGUAAACACAAACAUGACUGGUUCAAUUUAAGAACUCAAAACUGAAGUGCAUGUCGGUUCUGAGCUGUAUAUUGACAUUUUAACGCUGUAUCCAACAUGCGAUGGGCGUUUUUAACUACGACAACAGUGGAGAUCCUUCCAUUUAUAUUUUCCAUUAAUACGGAUUUGUUUGACGUUUAUCUUCCACGUAAGAGUGACUCAAGGCCAAUUGACAAAUUGGAGUUUGAUUAGGAUGAUUUUAGUUAGAACGUGAUAUUCAUGAUUUUAGUUUCAACACUUUCCAAAUUCGGAAGACAUGCAUGCAUGUAUACAUACCCAUCCAUAUAUAUAUAAAAAAAUAGUAAAGGCAGAUAAGCUAUACCUGCCUAAUUUGUUACAAGUCACUGAGUCAUAAUUCAUAUCUAAAACCCUUAUCAGAUCCAUGUUUAUUUGUCAUUAAGAUAUAUAAAUGGAACGUUUUUUAAUCAACCAACCUAACAAAAAAAGGAAGAAUAAUCUUGGUAUAUCCAGCAAAGUCCUAGCCAUCAUCUAAUCGUAAACGGUUUGACCAAGAAAACAUACAGAUAAAGAUGACGAUGUGACAGAAGGGACGUCAGCUUAUGCGUAUAUGCAUUGCAUGUACGCUGCGACUCGACGCCACCUUUCCUAUCUAUAAAUAACAGAGACAACUAAGACUUGUAAAAACAUAUAAAUAAAGACAUAAACAGACAAAAGCUUAUUAAAACAUAAACAGUUCAAGGAUGGUGGUUGUCGGAAAUGAUCUCUCGUCCAAGACUCUCCCCAGAGUUCUCAUCGUCUCUCGUCGAACUCUACGCAAGAACAAGUACGUGGACUUCGUGGGAGAGUACCAUCUCGACCUCAUCGUCUCGCACGGCGCCGUCCCUGUGAUCGUCCCACGUGUAAGCGGGAUCCACUCUAUGCUCCGGAGCUUCGAGCCUAUCCACGGCGUCCUCCUCUGCGAGGGAGAAGACGUAGACCCUUCUCUCUACGCAGACAAAGAGCUGCCAGGACUCUCUCAGGAGGACAUGGACGAGAUCAGGAGCUUGCACGCAAGUGACACGACCAUCGACAAAGAGAAAGACAGCAUCGAGCUGACUCUAGCUAAGCUAUGUCUCGAAAGAAACAUUCCCUUUUUAGGCAUCUGUCGUGGCUCUCAGAUCCUGAACGUUGCAGCGGGAGGAACUCUGUACCAAGACAUUGAUAAAGAAGUUGGAACUACGACGAAGCAUAUAGACUAUGACAACUACGAUGAGCAUAGACACGAGGCUAGGCUCGUGGAGGAGACGCCGCUGCGCAAAUGGUUCGACGGGAUGGAUCAGAUCAUGGUGAAUUCGUAUCACCAUCAAGGCGUGAAGAGACUCGCGGAGCGUUUUGCGCCCAUGGCGUACGCUCCCGAUGGUUUAAUAGAAGGGUUUUACGAUCCGGAUCGGUAUGAUCCGGAGGAAGGUCGGUUUCUGAUGGGUCUGCAGUUUCAUCCCGAGAGGAUGAGACGACUCUCGGAUGAUGAGUUUGAUUAUGAAGGAUGUGUUUCCGUUUACAAGGAGUUUGUGAAAGCUGUGACAGCGUUUCAUAAGAAGCAACUUAAUGCAGCAGAGAUUGUGAUGGAGGUGAAGAAGAAGACGCUAGUCAAAAGUGAGCUUUUAGAGGCGAACACUUCGGUUCUAAGCAAGCAACAAGAGAACAGGCUGAAGCAGAUGGGAGCCACGGUGAGGAACUCGUGUGUGUACAUGAAGAGGAUGAAGAGGAAAGAGGAGCAAGAGAGAGCGAUGGAUAAGUUGUCCGCAGAGCGUUUGUCUGAUCUGCUUUCGUUCCACCGUAUGAUGGCUCGUCUUUGCUCUGAUGCCAUCAAGAGGAAGCUGCUGGAACCAGCAGAUAGUGACUAUUGAGACUGCCUUUUUCAUCAACUAUUAGCUUUUAUUGUAAUAAACAUGUUACAUAUAAAUGAAAAUUAGUUUUUCUGUUUACAUUACAACUUGAGAGUUUCCUUUUAAGUAACAUCAUACAUCAUUUUUCAUCAUCAUCAUCGUAUCAUCACCGGCAGAAGAAGAUGAAGUCAGGAUGGUUGACAUGACGCAACCUCAGCCAAUUGUCUGCGGCUUUGAAAAGGGAGUUCACAAGCUGGUGACCAGAGCCUUUGGUACUCGUCCAUACAGAACCUCUCAACUUGUAUGUGGCGAGGCCAAAGACAGGAAGCAUUGUCUUCUCAACACUCUCCCUUGGCUGCACCUCACACAUAGACUGUGUUGUAACUUCUGCACCUGCUAGAACCGAAGAUAGAUAGUCACCACCUCAUAAUAAUUAACAUAAUUACCAUGCCUAGACUAAUAAAACGAAUUGCUGAUUGAUUUACCUAAGAAAUUGUAUCAACUAGUAGUGUUUCUAAUAUAUAAAUGCUGAGUACCAAAUGUUACCUUGAAAGGGUGCGUGAAGAGAAUGAUACGUCAAGAAGCAAGCAUCCAGAUCCUUGAGUGUUGGUCCUGUGGGUAUUUUGUAAAUUGGGUACCUACAAAGUAUAGUAAUUGAUUAUAAGAGACAUGAGGGGGACAAUGUUGAUUAAAGCAUGUGCACAUGGGACAAAGAAGGAUAAUACCAUGCCACGGAGAACCAGCUUGAAGGCAGUAAAUCACAGCUUCUCAGCGUCUUCAGCUCAGGAAAGCUAGAGGCAAGGUCACACAUCUGCAAUGUUAACAACUGAAUAAGACAGCUAUCUUAAGAAAUGCACAUGAGACCUGGAGAAGUUGCUAGACGGUAGCUGAACGUUGUACAGUCACUUGAUAGUAUGCGUUGGAGCAAUUACAAUUGAGAAGAGUUGUUGAAUAUAAUAGCAUUUACAUUCAUACAAUAAAUAUUUGAUGUUACUUCGUCAAUAAAAGCAUCUUUCAGUACCUAACUUCCGUGUAGACGCAUACAUAAAUUUAUUUCAAACCAUGAGAAAUGUUAAUAGUUUAGUCUAAAACACACUUAACCUGUUUUCUGAAUCUAUAUGAUCUUUAAUAACUUGUACACAAUAUAAACUUGUACACAAAUAACACAUGCCUUGCUAACUUGAUAUACAGAGUUAAAAUAGAGACAAACCUUGUCGGUAAAGGGUUCGCGGAUGUAAGGAAGAUCACGUUCAAGAUACUCAAAGAUCAAACGACCUUGAGAGGCUAAAGGCUCCCCAUCAUCAAUUCAUCACUAGACGAGUCUUCCAUAUGCUCCUUUCUUAAAGAGAGUCCUCUUUCUGACUCACUGCUGCUUCCUUCGCUGCUUGAAUCCUUGAAAUCACUGUCACUCUCCUCACUUAGCCGCCUGCAGUAGGACAAGACUUGAGUUAUAGACUGAAGGCAGAGAGGUUCAAAAACACUUGAUUUGGUACCUUGAGCUUAAGGGAUGAGAAUCAGCAUAGAGUUGGAUGGCAGAGAGAGAAGGAACGUAGUAUUGAAAGACACGAUCUUUAUAAUAACUGUUGUUGUUAUUCAAAGAGAGAGGAACUCCAGUGCCGUAAGCACUCCACUCUGCAAACGAUUCCCAUACAUCACCAAGAACAAAGUACGGAGGAGGCUGCUGCAACUCAACAACAUCACUGCCUCUCCUUUCUUUGACCAUCGUCUGCGUGUAAACAAAAAGUUCUAUUCUUUAUAUAAAAAGGUAUUGACUUUAGAGUCUUUGACGUGUCGAAACAAACCUUGGGAAGGUAGUGGGCAGGCACAGAUGGUGUGACUGACUCCAAGAACCGUUCAACAUUGCUUGAAGACGAAGCGGGAGAAGUGUUUAUCGAUCUGCCGUGAGAGACGUCGCUCUGAGCUCUCUGUAGCUUAGUCAAAUGAAACCCAGCUCCCAGCAUCUCUUUUUUUUAGCAACACACGGCAAAGCAGAUGAUGAAUGGAUUAGACAGCAACACUUGUGUUUCCACUAGUCGUACUUGAUUCAGCUUCUGUAACAAGUUAGUUGAGAAAAAUCGAAGUGGAGUUCCUCUAAGAAGAUGUAGAUCAGUGUAAGAAAUGAAAAUGACAACGAGGAAGAUGAGAGAUUAUAGAACUGAGAACUUAUUAAAAGGAGUUUUAGAAUGAUUGAAGCUAAAGAGGGAGAGAGAGAGAAGAUUUUGAGAUCUUUUUGAGAUAUUUUUGUUACCAAUAAUACACCCCAAACCACUGUAAAUAUGUGAGAUCUUUUUGAUAGAAAACAAAAUUUUAGUCAUUUUCUAACAGAAACAAAAUUAUUUGAACACGUCCCAAAAUAAAUUUACAAUGUUGACAAGUGAAAUUUAUUGUGAUUUUUGAAAAAAAAAAAGAAUUUCGCAUGAUAAAAAAAAGUAUAUAACAAAUGCAAUACAUGUUGCCACUUCUCAUGAUAUCAGAAAAUGAAUUCAUGCACGUGGACCCUGUUAUUACAGUUUCAUUUUAUUUUCUUGCAAUAAACCGUAUCAUUAUUAGAGGUAGAGGAUGUGCACAUGAUCGAUACAUUCUAUUGUCAUUUUCUGCCAAAAAACAAUUGAUAAUGCAGUAGAAGUGGCGAUGAUAUAAAGUUGAGUAUGUUAAUGUGUGAGGUGUGUUGUUGUGUGUCCUUAUGACCAAGACAGAUGGUGUUGACUUGUGGUUGGAGUCACUUUGUCGACUUUCUAAGAUCAAUUGCUGACUCAGCCGCUGCUCACUCACUUUCUUUUUGUCCUCUAGCUCAACGGCGCGUGGACAAAACAAAAACUCGCCUAUCUCCGGUUCCUUUUAUUUUCCCAAUUAGUAAUGGGCCGAUAACAGUAUAAACGAAGCCCAAUACGAAAAGUUUGUCGGAGAACAACUAUCGUCGCCGGUCAAAGCGUUGUCGUUUCAAAACAGAGACCUUCGUUUUUCUCUCAACGGAAGGAGGGAAGCUCCAUCGCUCUUAGAUCUUCACUCUGAAACUUCAAAGACAAAAGGAAGAUUAAUUUAAAGCCUCGAGCUUUCGGAUCAGCUUACCAUUUGCUUAUACUCAACUGGAUUUGAUGUCUCUGAUACACCUGUUUUUGCUUGUGAGUUUGGUGAGCCUUGAAGCUGAUGCUACGACGUCGUUUUCCUCCGGAUCGCGCUCGAUUCUCAGAGACAUCGGUAGUAACGACAUCUCCGAUCAUAAAGAUAACGCCGUGGAGUUGAACGCGACCAACUUUGAUUCAGUUUUCCAAGACACCUCCGCCAAGUUCGCCGUUUUGGAGUUCUUCGCUCACUGGUCAGUCUUCUCUCUAGAUUCAAUCUGGAAAAAAGCUUCGAUCUUUCGUUUAGGAAUGUUCCUAAGUCCUGAGAUUUAUCAAGAAAAAGUUUUAACUUUACGUGUUUUAAAAUUGAAUGCGAAAGUCUUGUUUUGUGCCGUUCCGACAUUGACAAUUGUUUUUGUCUGGUUACAUUGAUGAUUCAAGGUGUCCUGCAUGUAGAAACUACAAGGUAAACAGCGCCAUUCAUUGUCCCCUCUUUGUCAGAUGCUGUUUGUAUUCAAUGCUUUGAAACUGUGUGACUCUCUGCAGCCUCAUUAUGAGAAAGUCGCUAGGCUCUUCAAUGGACCUGAGGCAGUACAUCCUGGUACCGUUUUGAUGACCAGGGUUGAUUGUGCAGUAAAGGUACUUGCCCCUCCCAUCUUCCUUGGUUUUUUAGGGACAACGUGUAUCAAGAACUUUUAUACUCUCUGUUUCUCUUUUACUUCUAAUUGUUUUCUUAUAACUUUUCUGGCAGAACAGAUGAAUAUUAAGCUCUGUGAUAAAUUCUCCAUCAAACGUUAUCCAAUGCUCUUCUGGGGCCCUCCCAGUAAGUUCGUUGGCGGCAGCUGGGAACCUAAACAAGAGAAGAGUGAGAUACUUGUGGUCGAGGAAUGGCGUACUGCUGAUCUUUUGUUGGGCUGGAUUAACAAGCAGCUAGGCAGGUAAUGCGUUCACUUAAAUCUCAUGUCUACCAUUUAAAUUGAAGUCAUAUUUAUUGUGAACAUAUUCUGUUUUGUUUCUCAUGUUAAAUGUUGUGCAGCUCUUAUGGCUUGGAUGACCAGAAAGUUGGAAAUGACCAUCUCCUGCCGAAUAUAUCCGACCAUGAACAGGUUUCUCAGAAUGUGUUCUGCCUCCACUUUGCUUAUAUUUGUAGCAUUUGGUUUAAUUGAAAAGAAUAAGUAAACAGAGAUGGUUGUUGAUAUAAUCACAGAUUUCUCAGGCCGUAUUUGACAUUGAGGAGGCAACUGAAGAAGCUUUUGAUAUCAUUUUGUCACUCAAGGUAGAGCUACUCUUUUGAUUUUUACUGUAUGUAUGCAUGCAUGUAUAAUCACUUUCAGCCUUGUUGAUGAGUAGUGAAUUGACACAGGCAAUCAAGUCUUCUGAAACUGGCGCUUCGUUUAUUAGGUUUCUUCAGCUUUUGGUUCCACAUCAUCCUUCAAAAAGGUAAAACAUCAUCUCCAUUUCCGUUUCUCUUCUCACUCUUCUCCCUCAAGCCUAAUUGAAUGUUGAAAAUGUAUAUAGGUGUCGUAAGGGAAGUGCUGAGAUUCUCAUGAACUUUGAUGAUUUGUGCCCAGCAGGCGAAUGCUCUUAUGAUUCUGGAGUGAACAAUACUCUACGAAAUUUCCAUAUAUGUGGAAAUGAUCUUCCUCGUGGAUAUUACGUGAGUGUUCCUAACAACUUGCUUUACUGUUUCCCUACUCUGCUUUAAACACAGAGAAGUCUGAUUCUUAAUCAUAUUGCCAGAUGUUUUGCCGUGGCAGCAAGAAUGAAACUAGGGGAUUCAGGUAGUGCUUUGCAAACUCAGUCCUUUCUUAAAUUAUUUUAGAUGUUGAUAGGAUCUUUUCAAAAUGGUUUGGCUGCAGCUGCGGAUUAUGGAUUUUGAUGCAUUCACUUUCCGUGAGGAUAGAGGAUGGAGAAAGUCAGUUUGCAUUCACAACCCUUUGUGAUUUCAUCAACAACUUCUUCAUGUGUGAUGAAUGCCGCCGCCAUUUUCACGACAUGUGCUUAAGGUAAAAAGAGAGAUCCAUCCCCAAGUUAGAUAUUAUCACAUCCUUUCUCUCAUCUAACAGCUUUUAUGUGUUGUUUUCACUGACCAGCGUGAAAACUCCGUUUAAAAAGGCGCGUGACGUCGUCUUGUGGCUGUGGAGCACACACAACAAGGUCAACGAGAGGCUCAAAAAGGACGAAGAUUCUCUCGGAACGGGAGACCCUAAGUUCCCUAAGAUGAUAUGGCCACCAAAGCAGCUUUGCUCGUCUUGUUAUCUUACGAGCACUGGGGAGAACAUUGACUGGGAUCACGAUGAAGUCUACAAGUUCUUGAAGAGGUACUACGGAGAGAAACUGGUGUCAUCUUACAAGAAAAAGAGUGCUGGUGGUGUGAGUAAGGAGGAGGUGGUUGUUGCAGCUGCUGAAGAAAUGUCAGUGCCUAGAAACGCACUAGUUGUCCCGGUGGGAGCUGCAUUGGCUAUAGCACUUGCGAGCUGCGCAUUUGGGGCGCUUGCUUGCUACUGGAGGACACAGCAGAAGAACCGGAAGCAUCACCACAAUCCGCAUUAUCUGAGGAGAUAUAGUAGUAACUAUUUGGUGAUGAACACGUUCAGUAACAUUGAAAGCGAGAGGGAAAAGGAGAGAUGAAGUUAUUUAAAGAAGAAGAAGCUCACGUUUUUUUUUAAUCAUUCUGGCAGAGGGAUUAGCUGGAACUGAUGUUGAGCUUUGUUUAUGUUGUAACUUUAUUUUUUAACAGAUUGUAUAGAUUAUUCUCUCCAAUUUUGGAAUAUACAGUAGACACCUUUUAUAUCUAUAUAUGUCAAAACAAAAUUUCUCCUUCAAAUUCUAUUGAAUUUCCCGCCUUUCAUUGGUGUUUUGUGAUCAUCUUCUGCUGCAGUCUCUAUAGCAACAGCUUUUUAGUCUGUUGGCUAAAUGGAAUGGAUUCUAAGAUUCAGUUACACUGAAGCCAAUGGGCUUACUAGUAAACCCAACUCAAUGACGGUCGUCAGCCCUGUCUGUCUUGCGGUAGCAUUGUAAAGGCUGUGUGUUUUAAAUAUUGAAGCAGAGCCAUCUUUAAAGUUCCAUAGGUUUGGUUUCAGUCUCAAGCCAGACAGGUUUAGGUUUCGGUGUAUAUGGGUUCCGGCUUUUCGGGUAUUACAAUUUUGGAUCCAUUCAUUAUUUAAUCAGUAUUUCAGUAUUGGUUCGGUACUAUUUUUUCGGAUCAGGUUUGGUUCGUUUAUUCGGACCCACAAUAUUUUGCCCAGCCUCAAUGAAACAUGUUUUAGUUCUUGUUUCCAAAUUCAGUAUUUGUUGGUAUUCAUACUAGUUUGUGGAAGUUGAAAUGAUUAACACUGAAUUUGAGAUCGGUUUAAUCAGUUGACCGUACAGACAAAUUUCCAAAAGCACAGUUUGAAUCAGACUCUUAUUCAGACACAACACACUACACAGCUAGUACAAUCCAGAAUUUUGUUUUGGAUCUUUCCAAAUUUAAAAUUCACGAAGAUGCUAAAAACCUAGACGAUAACGUUUGUUUCACAACAUCAUCACCACCACCGAACAAGCCUUUCCCCAAAACCCAACCUUCGAUCAUAUCCCUCGAGUUAACAGCUUUGUCUGUCGGAACAAGAUGCCCUGCUCCUGAAACCGCCACCUGCGUCAAAUUCCCCCACCUCUGUACAUAACCCGCGAGAUCACCUUCCCCGUCCUUCCACACCCUCCUCUCCGCCGUCAAGAACGCACCCAACCCCGACCACUUCAUAGUCUUCACCCACUCCUCCACCGAAACGACGCCGUCUCGAAGAUCCAGCAUACCUUGAUACAACAGCACGCUGGUUCUCUCCAACGCGUACUCCACCAUGAACUUCACGCUCUUCAUCACGUCUCCACGUAAAGCCUCGUCCACCUCAUCGCUGCAUUCCUCAAAACGCACCGUUUCGCUCGCUCCCAAAACCUUUUUCGCCUCUCUAAGGUUCAUGAGAUCCACCACGAGGUCCGUCCUGUACGGGAUCAUCCGCGCUUGGUUGUAGAGCGUCGCGAGGCCCGUCAUGUUGCGGAGCAGCGUCAGUAACUCGGUUCUCGCUUUCGUUGCUUCGCGCCAUUUCUGAGCCUUCGCGAGAGCUACGGAUGUCUCUUGAGCUUUCUCCAGCGCCUCUCUCUGUUUCGCGUUGACUAAACCGGAGUAGUAAGCGUUGACCGCGUGGGUCCGGAUCUGGAUCACCGGGUCGGUCAGCCCGUUUCCGAUGGCGAGGCCCAUUAGAUUCACCUUCCCGUUGGGCUUUUCUUUAAGGAUGUAGUAUCCGAUGGCGGGAACGUAUUUUCCUGCGUAGCUCUCGCCGGUUAUGUAAACCGGCCGGUUUUCAAAACCCGGGUUCUGCUCCAUGAACUCAACGAGCGCUGCGUAGAGUUGCUCUGCCACCUGUUUUUGAUUUCUUGGUAUGUGUUGUUUUGAAGCGGCGAUGCUGAACCCGGUUCCGAUGGGGCUAUCCAAGAAGAGUAGACCGAAGAGGCGGUUCCAGGCGCCAGGGUUGGGUUCGAGGUUGGUGGCGUUUGAAAGCACGCGCCAAGGGCCGAGCUCGUAGAAGUUGCCGAUCAUGGAAGAGCAGCCUGGCCCGCCUUGGAGCCAGACGAGGAGGGGAGUGUUGGGGAGAGGAGUGGUUGGCUUUUGGGCUUCGUAGAAGGCGUAGAACAUGGAGGAGCCUGGGGCGGGUUUAACCGGGAGGUAACCGGAUUUAGUAGGGAGAGCUUCAUCGGGAAACAGUGGAGGAGGUAGAGACUGGACGGAGAUGGAAAGGAGGAUAGUGGAGAGCAAAAAGAAGACUGUAGGGACGUGCUUCAUUAUCGCCACUACCUAGUGGCUUUACGUAAAGAUCGCUUUGUAUUAUUUGACUGCGAAACAUUCUUUUGUGUUUUGUCUUGUAACCGAUGUAAAGUGGCUAGCAAGUAGCAACAUUAUUUUUGGUUUUAUUAAUCAAGACCUGAUUACAUCCUCUACUCGUGGCUUUGCAUAAAAGUCGCUUUGUAUUAUUUAACUGCGAAACAUAGUUGUGCUUAUUUAAGAUGCGACUCUACUUUUGGUUUUAUUAAUCAAGACGUGGUUACCAACAUAAUCGCAUAAACAUGAAUACUUUAGCGAUGCUUUUCAUAUUGUUUUAUACUCCAAUUUAAUUGGCCCAAUAAUAAAAAGCUAAAAAGAAUCUCAUCUCGGCCCACAAAAGAGUGGAUAAUACAGUUACAGGGCCGUAUUGAUGUUUUAACGACUUGCUUGCUUCCCCGUUGCAUCUUUCGCGAGAAGUUUCAUUAUUGUCCGGAAGAGGUGGUUAUGUUUUGGUAAAGCGAUCACAAGGUGUUCGAUAUAAUACCUGAGAGAGUUUCCACAGCUUUCUUCUGAUUCUUACUCGGUUUGAGUGAGCUGGAUCUUCCACGAUGAAGACGAUGAUCUUGGAUGUUUGCAAUGAGAUUAUAAAGAUCCAGAAGCUAAGACGGGCUGUCUCUUACGCUGGAUUCUACUGCUUCACUGCAGCCCUCACAUUCUUCUACACAAACAACACGUAAUACAUCCUUCAAAAUCUAGCUUUGAAUCUCAGUUUCCUUCAUCUGUUUGUUCUUCCGCAGCUUUGUUUGGCUUCUUCUCUCACGGAUUCGAAUGUUUUUGUAGAACAAGAGCAGGAUUCUCCAGGGGAGAUCAGUUUUAUGCAUCUUACCCUGCGGGUACCGAACUUCUUACCGACACAGCUAAGGUUAGCCCUUGUUGUCUUUUCACAGAGACAUUUGACUUGUGUCCUUUAGAGUUGACAUAGCUGAUUUGAUUUUGCUCUCUGUAUUACAUAUUGGUUUGGAAUUGAUGAAACGGGUUUUGGUAUUAAAAGCUGUACAAAGCGGCGCUUGGGAAUUGCUAUGAAUCUGAGGAUUGGGGUCCUGUCGAGUUCUGCAUAAUGGCUAAGCAUUUUGAGCGCCAGGGAAAGUCUCCAUACGUUUACCACUCUGUAAGUUUCCUUCAAUCUCUCUAUCAUCUUAAAUUUGGUUUCCUAAGAUAUUGUGUGAUUGAAGGUCAGUUUCUGUAAAUGCUAGGGACUUUCUGGUGUGGCAUAUGUUGAUAGAAAUGUUUGUUAGAAUCAUGUGGGUUAGGUCUUGAAUACAAAACCAAGUGUUGAGUUCUUUUGUUUGUAAAUGCAGCAAUACAUGGCUCACCUUCUUUCUCAAGGCCAACUUGAUGGGAGUGGCUAAAGCACAACUCCUUUUUUUUCAGAUGUGUACCUAAUCUUGUUAUUGCAAAAUCAAACUCGGGUGUCUGGAACUCUGUCCUUCACUCUUUUUCCUCAUUUGUACGGAAUAUAAGAACUUGUUUUGAGAUGUAAGCCCACAAUGUAAUAAACACAUAAGAUGAGACCUUGAUAUGGUGUACAAAUCAAGUAAACACUUCGAUAGGCUUAGCGAGCCGUGAUAAAUAAAACUAGGCUAAUAACCCUCUUUUGAACUUAUUAGUCACAAACUAAAUCUUACAAUUCAUCCAGUUGAAGCACAUCAAGGAAGGGUUUAAACUUUUAGUGCAUUGUAUACAUCAUACAUGCCUAAUUUAUUUAGCCGUUUGAUCACAUAAGGGUCAGGCUUGAGCUACUGUCCAACCAACCCCAUGAUUAUUGAGUAGGCCUCUUUUCUGUUCACCUCCCCCUCAUGAUAUCAUCAUCUUGCAACAUUUUGUGCUUCUGAUUCUUUGCAAUUAUACUAGUGUAUAGAUCCGCAUAUAAAUGGAUUGAGCAAAAGGACCAGACCAAGAAGGGCUUUCUUGAAGACUUGUUCAGUCCGCUUGCUUGUCGAGUCAAUUACCAGUCGUUACCAAUGGGAUUCUACAUCAUUACUAAACUUUCUUUAGAAAAUAUUAAAACUGACAAAAGUCUAUAAAUGGGCCAGGCCCAUUAAAUAGUUACCAAUAUAUUCUAGGGCCUAAUACAUGCGAAUCAAACCUAAACCCUCGGCCUUUUAACGUCCCUCUAAACCCUACGACCUAGAACAUUCCGUCUCCCAUCUUGUUCCCCAAAUUAAAAACUCAGAAAACCCUAGAAUUCAUCACACUCACCACCACACCGAGGGAGAGAGAGAAAUGAUGAAGCGUCUGGUCCCAACGUUCAACCGCAUCCUGGUGAAGAGAGUCAUCCAGCCUGCCAAAACCGAGAGCGGCAUCCUCCUCCCAGAGAAAUCCUCCUCUGUAAGUCCCCGCUCAUUUGUUUCACCGAUCUGAUCUUUUUCUGAUUUGGCCUUCGAAAAGGUCUUCUAGAAUGAUUAUGAGCUUUUUCUUGGAUGGCUUACAGCUGAACUCCGGCAAGGUGAUAGCAGUGGGGCCUGGAUCGAGGGAUAAGGAUGGGAAAUUGAUUCCGGUCUCUGUCAAGGAAGGCGACACCGUUCUUCUUCCCGAGUACUGUGGUACUCAGGUCAAGCUCGGCGACAAUGAGUAAGUCAAACCAAGCUUUCUUAUUGAUUUUACCUUCCUUUUUAGCAAUGUUAGAAUUUAGAAAAUGUCAAAAGGAUCUUAGUGAACAAACUCUUUAUCAGUGGAAUAGAAUAGCAAUUUCAACACCAUAGUGAAUCAUGUGCAAGACAUUUUGAUGUUGAAAAGUGGAUAAAUUGGAUUGAAAGUAAGUAAUGUUUGUUUGUUUGUUGGUGAUGGACGUAGGUACCAUCUCUUCCGGGAUGAGGACGUCUUGGGAACCUUGCACGAGGACUGAGUUACAACUACUACGAGCGUUCUUGUUGGCGUUUGUGUUAUGGAUUAAAAGAAAUUCAUAUUUCUCCUUUUUUUAUAUGUUGGGUUUGGACUUUGUUGAUUAUCAUUGAUAUUUACCUUAAUAAAUCUUAAAACUGAUUCCAAUCUUUGUGCUUAUUCCGAUAAUCUGCUGACCAAAUAAGUUUUAUCAUUUGAAAAGUGGUUCGUCUUUGCGUAUUCAGAUAUCUUCUUCUAAUUGUGGAUCAUUGCCUCUUCUAAUCAUAUUAAUGACCAUAAACGUACGUAAACGGGUGCAUUCAAUUCGAAUUAAACAAGAAAUAGAUUCAAAGAGGUAACUUAUAAAAAACACAGAAGAAGGAGUGUACAAUAAACAUACAAAUAAAACUCUCCGAUAACUUCACCGGUGUUAAUCUGCGGAAUGCAAACAAUGCAAUAUCCUCACGGCGUAACGCCCUAACGGAGGAGGGAAACAAUGAUUCCCCAGGUGGAGAGAGAUCCGUCUAUUCAAAUUCGUCUCCCGGAAAGCGGCUGCUCUACUCCAUCUCCGCCUGCUUCGCCUCUUCUCAGCCGGAGCCGUUCUAAAUCCUUCCUACAGCCGAAUCGGACUCUCCCUCACCGCGUCUCUUGGAUCCUCUUAUCGCUUCUUCUCCGUCGUCAGGGGAUUCUACUCUUCGCUCCUCUCAUCUACAUCUUCUGUAUGCUCUUUCACAUGCGCACGGCGUCGUUUGAUCCCGGUCCCUUCAUCAAUCGCCGCCCCGCGCCUGGAUCCGUUUACAGAAGCCCGCAGGUUUACGCUAAGCUGCAAGCGGCGAUGGUUGCUGAUAACGCCACGGCUGAUGCGGUGAGGUUUGCCUCCGUUGUAUCCACAUUGUUUGAUUCUGUUAUUCAUAUCUCAAUGUGGGAAGGUUGGAUGUUUUCUUGGUUGAUUCGGGGCUUGUGAGCUGAGUCAUUCUAUGAACUGUAUUCAUUCUUAGAUAUCAACAAUUUGGAAACGUUCAUAUAAAGGUGUGGAGUGGAAGCCGUGCGUGAACAAGUCCAGUGGAGGUAUUAUAUAGCUUUCGUUGUUAUUGUCCUAUGCAAUAAAUUAAUAGCAUUGAUGAAGCUUUUCAUGUCACAACGUUCUCAAUUUGAUGAAUAAUGUAGAACAGAAUCACUGAGUUUUUUUUGUUUGUUUAUUGUUGAGAAUUGUAGUUUUGCCUGAGUCAAAUGGUUUCAUAUUCAUUGAGGCAAAUGGAGGUUUGAAUCAGCAGCGGACUUCGGUAGGUUUGUCUAUCUUUUCAUCUUACAGUAAAUUUGAUUUGUUUCACUCUACCGUUCGUGCAUGUGUCUGGUGAUAAAGUUAUUGAUUUGUCUCUACCAUGUUUUGUUUAGAUAUGCAAUGCGGUUGCUGUGGCAGGCUACCUUAAUGCGACUCUUGUGAUUCCCAACUUUCACUAUCACAGCAUUUGGAAAGAUCCGAGGUUUUAGAUAUUUGUUUUUUUUUUGUCUUCUCUUGGUGUUGUCAAGCAAAGACGUCCUUUUUCAACUACUUGUUCACAGAGUGCUUUUCGUGCAGUAAAUUUGGGGAUAUCUAUGAUGAGGAAUACUUUGUCACUACCUUAGCAAAUGAUGUGCGGGUAGUCGAUACAGUUCCUGAGUACUUAAUGGAGCGUUUUGACUAUAACUUGACAAAAGUCUACAACUUCAGAGUUAAAGCAUGGGCACCGACUCACUAUUACCGGGACUCUGUCCUGCCAAAGCUACUUGAAGAAAAGUGAGUCACACUCUGUUCUGAACUUAUAAAAGGAUAUUUGAUUCUGUUUUAGGACACUUGUUUUUGAAUUAUUUGCUGUCUUUUUCCAUGUUACAGGGUCAUAAGAAUAUCCCCAUUUGCAAAUAGACUUUCGUUUGAUGCUCCGAGACCUGUCCAGAGAUUUCGAUGUUUGGCCAAUAAUGUCGCUUUGCGAUUUGCAAAACCCAUAUUGACCCUAGGAAAAACACUGGUGAAGAAAAUGAAAGAGCUUAGUGCUAACAACGCCGGGAAGUACGUUUCUGUGCAUCUUCGGUUUGAAGAGGUUUGUUACCUGUAAAGGAGAAAUGCUUCAUUAUAUCAUGGCUGCACACAUACUGAAUAAAGAUAUGUGUGUUUGCAGGAUAUGGUAGCUUUCUCUUGUUGUGUAUUUGAUGGCGGCAACCAAGAAAAACAAGACAUGAUUGCGGCGAGAGAACGGGGGUGGAAAGGGAAAUUCACAAAACCUGGCCGCGUGAUACGACCCGGAGCUAUCAGGCUCAAUGGGAAAUGCCCUUUAACUCCUUUAGAGGUAAGCAUAAACAUUAUCUUCGUAUUACAUUCAUCCAACUGGAGUAAUCAGAGUAGUUGUGCAAAGUGCAAACUCUUGUGAGCAAUGAUGUGAGUAGAGUAGCUUGUUCCUGUUGGCUUCCUUGUACACCUAUCAGGUUGGGUUGAUGCUUAGAGGAAUGGGAUUCAACAAAAGCACAUAUAUAUACCUGGCCUCUGGGCCGAUAUAUGGUGCAAAUAGAACUAUGGCUCCACUACUGGAGAUGUUCCCGAAUCUACAGACGAAGGAGAUGCUUGCUUCUGAGGAAGAACUUGCUCCUUUUAAGGUCUGCUUCUGGUUUCCAUGAUCUUCCAUUUUUUGCUUAUCCACGUGAUGAAUCACUUCUGACUUAGCGUGCGUUCAGAACUUUUCCUCGAGAAUGGCUGCACUAGAUUACACAGUGUGUCUCCACAGUGAAGUAUUUGUGACAACACAAGGAGGAAACUUCCCUCAUUUCCUCAUGGGGCAUCGGAGGUACUUGUUUGGAGGACAUUCGAAGACGAUUCGGCCUGACAAGAGAAAGUUAGCCGUACUCUUUGACAAUCCCAAGUUAGGGUAACGAUGCUUACCUAACUACAUGCUUUUUGGUUUAUAGUUUCUGGUUGGUCCCUCAAUGGUUGUUUCUGAUAUCACCGGCAGAUGGAGAAGUUUUAAACAUCAAAUGCUAAACAUGAGGUCUCA
RNAcentral lists this long non-coding RNA (68553 nucleotides) under Brassica napus (rape). Its description in RNAcentral is "long non-coding RNA (BNAP_LNC008415)". Lineage: Eukaryota; Viridiplantae; Streptophyta; Magnoliopsida; Brassicales; Brassicaceae. The record is from RNAcentral.